UUGUGAUCAAAAUCAAUAUGAAAUCUAAAAAUCAGGAUCAAAUUAAAAAAAAAAAAAAAAAAAUAGAUAAUGAAAUGAAACUAUACUGCUAUAUGGCCAAAUGAACAUAUUCUUAUUCACUAUAGUUUUUUACCAAACAAAAUCAUGUAAUCACAACAAUGGGUAAGACUGAGUUAUGGCCAACACAAGAUCCUACAGAGAAAUCAUGAAACAAACAUCACCAACUAUUUAUAAUAAUAAUAAUAAUAUAUGAUUUAUUCAAUUUAAUUUAUUAAAGAGUUUAUAAACAUCAAAAUCUAACCAACAUCCCAGUUUUUUGAUAUUUUCCAAUUGGCUAAAAGUACCUCAAAAGAAUAAUAAAUUAAAUAAAUAGUUGUCGAAAUAGCAGAAUUCACCAUUUUUGGGGGACAAAGGUUGCAAUAAUAAUAUAUAAACCAAAAAAUAAAAAAAUUCAUCAUUUUUCUACAAACCAUUUAUUGUUUUUAAAAAAAUGUUAGUAUAACACAUACAUACCAUAAUUCCAUAAAAACUGUCUUUUGCUUCAAAAAAGACCGACCUUAAAUCACAUGAUACCCCUCUUAUAAUGAGAACAAACCUGUAAAAACUGACAUAUCCCAAAAAAUAUCAUUUUGACCAAAAUACCCUCUUAUAAUGAGACCUUCAAUCUCCCAGACAUCUUCAAAUGAAUAACCCCAGUAACAAAAAUGCAUUCUAGACCCUUUCAGAUCAAGUAAAUUUCCGACAAUCUAUCAAAAAAAUAAAUUAUUUUCUUUUUAACCGAAUCCUCAUUUCCUUCACCUUCAUUAUUAAACACCAAGUAACCAUCCUUAAACCUUAUCAAUUUAAGUCUUAAAUCUUAAAAAAUAUUCAAAAUCACUUUGUUACUACCUUUCUUAAAAAGCCUGUAGUUUGUUGGAAAGCUUUGUGUAUAUAACAAACUCAACCAUCAUCUUCAUCAGUAAAUCAGUUAUCUCAGGUAAAACAAAGUAAAAAUGUAUGCAAGAACCUGAAAAGAUAAGGUCUACACCCAACCAUUGUUGUUUUCUUUAUUUUCACAAAAUAAACAUUUCUUCUAUUUCUACUAUUCUUGAAACUUGGUUUAAAAAGUUCUUGAAUUUUGAAAAUAAAAACCAAAGACUUUUGAACAACUGAAAAUUCAAAUCCAUGAAAAAAAAAUGAUAUUUUUAAGUAAGGAAUUGCAAAAAGAACACUGUAAAUUUAUAAUCAUAACAAGGGCUGGAAAUAUUUCAUCAAGAAACUGUAAUUAUGAAGAGAAGCUUACCACAAGAGUCGUAUUCUUGAUUACAAUGUCAUAAUAUGAUAAACAGUUAUUACAAUGUCUUUGUUGUUUAAACUAACUAAAAUUAUAAUGCUAGUUAGAUUAUAAAAUAACACCUUAAUAGAAAAAAUACUAAAAUUUCAGAUGUUAAGUUUUGAAAGAAAGAAUAAGGCAACAGAUGGUGAGGUUUUCAGAGUACAAAGUCUUGUAAGAAAAAAAAAACUACAAUUGCCUUACAAAAAAGAUUUAAAUGAUAAUGUGAAAAUAAGUUUGGUUUUCAAAGCAAAAUGACUUAUAGAAAUUAAAAAAUAAAAAUAAAAGUAAAAUAUCUUAAUGGAAAAAAUUAGAGUUAAUAACCAAACUUAAACAAGUCAAAAUAUUUCGAGUCCACUUGUCUUAAAGGAGAAAAAGCUAAAAACAGAAGAAACAAUAAUGCUAUGUAAUCUGUCUUAAUGGUAAAAGGAAAGUUUUAGUAGAUCAGAUUUUGAAAGAACAAUGAUAUUAUUACAGGUUAGAUUUUCAAAAACGUUUUAAAAGAAAAAACAAAUUAAAAUUAAAAUGUCUUAAUAAGAAUAAGGCUAUAACCAGUUUUUCCCAUAAUCAAAGUGCAAUAUCUUUUUAAUUGGAGAAAACGAUUCAAAGCACAAUGUCUUAAUCAAAGUGUUGUAACUUAAUAGGAUAAAAUACUUCAAUUAUGAAUCCACAGUCAAGUACAAUGUCUGAAUUAAAAAAAUAGAAUAUAUAAAUGUUAUAAUAUAUUUAACUAAAAUCGAACAGGUUCAAUUUUUGAAAGUGUAAUGUUGGAAAAAAUAAAGGUGCAAUGUCUUAAUAUGUUAGAUUACGGGAGUAAAUGCUAUAAAUGAAUAGUAUACAAUGUUAUAGAUGUUUAGAACUUUAAUGUCUUAAUAAGUAAGAUAUUGAAAAUGAUAUGACUUUCAAUGUACAAUAACUUAAUUGGAAAAAAAAAUAAGUAAAAGUGCAUUGUGCUGAUAGAAAAAAAAAAUAGUAUCUAAAUGCUAUAUAGUCUUGAAAUAUUAAGACUAUUACAAUGUCUUAAUAGGAAAAAGAACAAAGAAAAGUAUAAUGGUACAAUUAGUAAAGAAAAACAACUUAUAAUGAGUCCUAAAAGGGUAAAAAAAGAAAAAUGUUUUAAUAUACUGAAAAGUGCAAUGUCUUAUUAUGAAAAAAGUGGUUUGACUUUAAAAACGUAACUAAAGCUCUAAAAGUAUAACACUAAAAUUGGUUUGAUUUUCAAAUUAUAAUGAGUCCUAAAAGGGUAAAAAAAGAAAAAUGUUUUAAUGGGGAAAAAAAAAAGUAAAAGUAUAUAGCUAUAUUAAGUAACAAAAACAAAGAAAUAAAAAAAUGUUUUAAUAAAAGAAAAAUGUUUUAAUGGGUAAAAAAAAGUAAAAGUAUAUAGCUAUACUAAGUAACAAAAAUAAAGAAAUAAAAAAAUGUUUUAAUACAACAUAUUAUAGAUUUUAUAAGUACAUAUUAAUAAGAAGAAAAAAAAUAAAAGAAUACCUUAAUAUGAAAAAUAUUGAUGGUAUACUGCUAUAAUCUGUUACAUUUUCAAAAUACAAUGUCUUAAUAGAUUAUAACAAUUCAAAGUAGAAUGUUAUAGUUUCAUAAGCAAAACAAAACAAAUUCAGAUUUUCAUACAUAAAAAUGUCCUAACUGAAAAAAAUAGAAUGUUCUAUUAGAUUUUGAGUGUAAAAUGUUGUAAUGAAAAAUACAAGGUUACAAAUAGUUGGAUUUUCAAAGUACAAUGUAUUACUAAAAUACAAUGUUUUAUUAGAAAACUAUGAAAAAGUACAUCAUCUUAAUAGAAAACAACUAGACUUCAAGUAUACUAUGGAUGCUAAGCAACAUAGAACACAUAUAGACCAACAAUGUCUUAAAAUGAAAAAAAAAAAACAUUAAUACAACGUUUAAUAUGCUAAGUUUUCAAAGUGCAUUGUCUUAAAUGAAUAAAAAAAAUGAAUGUUUUACCUUUACAAUGUCAAUGUCUUAAAUAGGAAAAAUAUUAGAAGUAGAAGAAUAUAUGUGGUUGGUUAUAUUUUAAAGUACAAUGUUGUAGGAAAACUAUUAAAGAUACAAAAUCUUAAUCGAAAAAAUUGAAACUAUAAAGUUGUACUUUGAUGACCAAAACAAAAAAAAAUAAACAUACGAGAGUGAAAAGGUAUACUGACUUGAUAUGAAAACAAUAGAAAGUAAUCGACAUAAAAUGUUAUAAUUGGUAACCAAAUUUAAAAAAAAAUAAAAAAUAAAAAAAAAGUUAAGAUUUUUAAGAUACAAUGUCUUAAAAAGUUAGAAUAUGAGGGUGCAAUGCUAUAGAUGAAUAUAUAAUGUUUUAAUUGGUUUAAAUUUUUAAAGAACAAUCUCUUAAUGUUAGUAAUUUAAAGUAAAAUGUCUUAAAAGUAAAAUUAUUUAAGUUUUACAUUGGUAACUAAAACCUUAAAAGUUCAGAUUUUAAAAUUAUAGGCAAAAAUGUCUUAAGAGAAAAAAAAAAAAAAAGGCAAAGAAUACGAUGGUAUAUAUGGUAACCGAAAUCAAAAACUAUGUUUAGAUUAUAAACUACAACUUAAUAGAAAAAAUGUGAUGCUUUAAAAAGUUAUUAUACGAAAGUAUAACGCUAUAAUUGCUUAAAUUAUCAAAGUAGAAAAAAUAAAAGUAAUGUCAUAUUAAAAGAAAAUUUUAAAGUAUAAUGUUAAAAAUGAUAAGAAAAACUAAACAUGUUAGAACUUCAUAGUGCAAACACUUGGAAAAAAAUAUUAAAUAUACAUAUCAAUAAAUGUACAAUGUCUUAAAAUAUGUUUGUGUAUUUAAAUAGUACAAAAACUUAAAUAAGAACAUUAAAAGAGUGACUUUUUAGCAGGAAAUAAAUUUAAUUAUUAAAAGUAUAUAAUGUAUCUUGAAAGUACCAUGUCCUUCAUGGUAAACCAAAAUAGAACAUGUUUUAUAUUUCAAAGGGUAAUGCCUUAGCAGGGAAAAUUUUGAUUAUACUAUAUCUUAACAGAAUGGAUUUUGAAAUAUAUUUUGUUAUAUUUUGAAAGUACAAAUGUUUUAAUCAAAGUGCACUAUAUUUUUUGUUAUAGCAUAUUUUACUUAUAGCUAUAACUCCUUUGAUUAUCAAGAAAUACAAUGCUUUAUACAAAAAAGUUAAAAGCUAUUUGCCUUAAUUGCAAACCAAAAACAUGUUGGAAAUGCGAUUGAAUCAAUACGUAAUAGUUAUAAUACUUUUCUCCUUUGAAAGCAAAAUGCUAUAAUUGGUUGGAUUUUUUAAAGUAGCCUGAAUCAAUACGAAAAAAAUCAAACAGGUUGGAUUUGUAAUAAUAAUGCUAUUAUUAGUUAAGUUUUAAAACUAAUAUGACUUCAUCAGAAAAAAAUAAUUAAAAUUACAAUAUCUUGAUAACAAAGAAUAGAGGAAGGUGUAAUUUGUAUAACUAGUAACCAAAAACAACUUCAGAUUUUUAAACCCCAAUUUUUAAUGUCUUGAAAAGAAAAAAGAAAAAAGAAAUUAAAAUAUUAUACAUGGUAACAAAAAAGUUAGGCUUUCAAACAGAUUACCUUUUGAAAGCAUAAUAAAAGAAAAAAGUAUUAAUAGGUUAGCUAUUGAAAGAAUAAGCCUAUAAAUGGUUAGAUUUAGAAAAUACUAAAUUUUAAAAGCUAAAAAAUAGGUUCCCAAUGUUUUAAAAAAAAAAUGUUUAAGUAACAUAUUGGUAACUAAAAAAUUGCUUAGUGACCAUUUUGGAAUGUGAUAAAAUACUAUAAAGCAUAUAAAGUACAAAGAAAUAAGUUAGGAACUGUGUACGAAGGUUAGUUUGAAAAAUUCAACUUUUUCCAAAAAAAUAAAAAAACAAAGUUUUUAUAGGUUAGAUAAUGAAAUUAUAAGGCUAUUACUACGAGUACAAUGCUAUGAUUACUAACAUUUUCAAAAAACAAAAAAAAAGAGUCUUUAUUGUAAAAACAAUAAAAGUAAAAUGUGAAAAAGGAGUAAAUGUUAAAUUUGAAAUAACAAUGUCUUAAAUAGAAUCUAAAUGUACAAAGUAUAAUGUUAUAACUAAGUAUUCAAAGUAUAUUGUUUUAGUAAGAAAAAGAUAAGAUUACAUACAACUAGGGUCUUUUUUUCGUUUACAUACAGUACAUUCUAAUAUUAACCUAUGCAUCAGUUGAUCAUAACAGUAUAUGGUAAAUUCAUAAUGCUCAUAUAAUUAGAGAUAAAUCAUCUGAAACGUAGAAAAUAAAAGGAGACUAUUAAUUAAUGUCUUAAUAGAAAUGUAAAAUAGAAGGAUAAUGUCUUAAUAGCAAAUAAAAUAAAAGUAGAACGUAUUAAUAGGAUGGAUAACUGAAAGUAAAAUAAAAGUUAAAAUUUUCAAAGUACAAUUAGGAAAACAAUUAUGAGAGGAACGUCUUAAUAAACAGAAAAUAUAAUAUUAUGAAUAGUGACCUAAAUCAAACAAAGAGACUUUUAUAUACCAUAGUCUUAAUAAGAUCUAAUUUGAAACUAUAAGGCUAUAAAUGAUAAUUUUUAACAUAUUUAAAUAAGAAAAAAUAAAGUAUAAUGGUUUAACACAAAAUAAUUUAAGUAUGUUGAUAUAUAAGAGGUAACCAGAUUCAAAGUUCAGAUUCUCAAAGUAUAAAGUCUUUGGAUUGAAAACAAUAAAAAAAAUGUCUAAAAAGUUAGAUUUUCAAAGGAUAAUUUAUUAAUAGAACUUAUUAUAGGUACAAUUUCUUGAUAGGAAAAAAAAAGUUGGAAGUCCAAUGUCUUAUAUGUUAUAAAUCAAAAACAUAAUGUCAACAGUGGGUUAGAUUUUAUUAAUAAAUCUUAAUAAGAAAAAAAAAAUAUCUUAAUAGGAAAAAUAUUGAGUAUGAUGCUAUAAUCUGUUAGAUUUUCAAAGUUCAAUGUCUUGAUCAAAGUGGCAGUAUCUUUAUAUGAAAUAACAAUUCAAUGUACAAAUUCAGAUUUUAAUAAGUAAAAAAAAAUGUCCCAAAUCAAUGUCUUAAUAGGGAAGAAAUUUCAAGUAUAUUAACUACAGAUGAAAAGGAAAAUUUUAUAAGUAAAAUGUUAAAAAAACUAAAAGUUAAAUGUUAUAUAUGGACAUAUGGUAACCAAAUCAAAUAAAUUCAGAUUAAAAAAAUGUCUUAAAAAUAAGAUUUUACAAGUAUAGUAAAAUGUUAAUAGAUUAAAUUUUGAAAGAAUAAAGCUACAAAUGGUUAGAUUUUGAAAAUGCAAUAUCUUAAAGAAAUUAAAUAAAUAAAUGUACAAUGUGUUGAUGUGUUGGAUUUUAAAAGUAUAAUGUUAUUAAAUUUUCAAAAUACGAUAUCUUUAUAGAAAAAAAAUCAAAAAUAUAAUGUUGUAGUUUGAUAACCAAAACAAAACCUGUACAGAUUUUAAGUGGAAGGCCUUGAUAAAAAAAAUAUAAGNUAUAUAUAAAAAACAUUUUAGUGUUAGAUUUUGAAAGUUUAACACUAUAACUACUUUGAUUAUCAGAAAAUACAAUGUCUUAAUACAGGAAAGAUAAAAGUAUAAUUUUUUAGAUAAAAAAAAUAUUGAGUUUCCAACACUAUAAUUGGUAACCAAAAACAAGUUUAAAAUUUCAAAGUACACAAUUUAAGUAACAAAACAGAUAAACAUAUGAGAGCUAAAAGGUAUACUGACUUAAUACAAAAACUAUUAAAAGUACAAUCUCUUAAUAGAAAAAUAGAAUAUAAAAUGUUAUAAUCUAUAACUAAAAUCAAACAAGUUUAGACUUUUAAAAUAUAAUGUCUUCAAAAGAUAGAUAUCUUAUUUGUUAGUAGCAAAUUAUUAUAAUUUCUUAAUAGAUGAAUAUAUAAAGUUAUAAUUGGUUUAUAUAUUCAAAGAUUAAUGUUUUAUUUGUAAAUAACAAAAAAAGUAAAAGUACAAACUAUGAUGCUCUAUUUGGUUUGAUCUUUCUAAAGUAUAAUGCCUUAGGUUAGAUUUGAAAAAAAUAAUAAUGUUAUUAGAUAGGUUUUGAAAAUGCAAUGUCUUUAUAAAAAAAAAUACUAUAUUUACAUCUGUCUAAUAGAAAAAACAGAAGAAAGAAUGGUAAAUUAAGUAAGCAAAAACAGCUUCAGAUUUUCAAACUGCAAUGUCUUAAUAUGUUGAAUUAUCAAAGUGGCUUAAUACAGAGUAUAAUAAUAAACAUACAUUGUCUUUAUAGGAAAAAAUGGUUUGAUUUUAAAAGUAUAACAAAGUAUAAAACUGGUUUGUUUUCAAAGUCUAUUGUCUCGAUAACAAAAAAAAAGUAAGAUGUUUUAAAAAAAGAAUACAAAAUGUUAAUGUAUAUUUGUCUUAGUAGAAAAAAUUAGUAUGAUGUCUUAAUGGGCAAAAAUUAAAAAUAGAUUUUCAAAAAACAAAAUCAUCGAAUAUAUUUUCAAAAUAAAAAAAAACGAAGUUUUAAAAAGUUAAGAUUUUCAUAAUAUAAGGCAAGCGGUUGGAAUUUCGAAAUAAACUUUCAAGAAAAAAAAUUACAAUGAGUUUUAAGUCGUUUCAAAGUGCAAUAAAAGUACAAUGAGGUGAGAUUUUGAAAUAACAAUGUUUCAAAUUUUAGAUUUUGAUCCUAGACCAUAUUUUUUGUUUACAGAACCCUGGGUGUACAAAUAAAAGUUCAAGAUCUUUUUUUGGAAAAAAAAAAUGUUUAAGGACUUUUUGUAUGAAAAAUGCUUUUCAUAAAGAAAAAUGAAACUGCUGUCUUCUGUAGGAAAGAAAAUAAAAGUGUAAUGUUAUAACUGAUUACCAAAAACAAAAUCAAACAAGUUUAAGAUCUGGGUUUUGAAAGUACAAUCAAUCUACAAUGUUAAUAGGAUUGAAAUUAACAUUUUUUUCAUGGGAAAAAAAUUUAAUUAUCAAAAGUAAAAUGUCGACAGCUGUUUAAUAUUCAAAGUAAAAAUGAUAUAGUUGAAAGUAUAAUGCUAUAAUUGGUUGUAUCUUGAAAGUACCAUGUCCAUGGGAAAAAAGGAAAAUAUUAGAUAUGGUAACAAACAAAAAUAAAUUUAAAAACUGAGUUUUUCAAAAUUGAAUGUGUUAGUAGAAUAGAUUUUCAAAGUAUAAUAAAUGUAAAAUGUGUUAAUAGAUUAGAUUUUGAUUAGAAUAAAGCUAUAAUAGAUGAUUAGAUUUUAGAAAUGCAAUGUCUUAAAAGAAAUAAAAGAUGAUUUUAACCUACUAUCUUAAUAGAAAACAAAAGAAAAAUGCAAUAUGUCUUCUUGAUAGAAAAAAUGAAGGGUAUUGAUUAAAUGGUAAAUAAAAUCAAGUAAAGUGUUAUAUAAUUGGUAAGUUCAUUGCCAGUUAUUAGUUGAAUUUAUAUAGUAUAUAGUGUAUUAAUGUGAUAAAAAUUAAAAUUACAAUGUCUUCUUAAUACAUAAAAAGUAAAAGUAUAAUGCUGUAAAUGGCAAUUAAAUCAAAUAAGUUAAGGUUUUCAAAUUACAAAGUCAUAACAGUAAAAUUAAAUUUAAAUGUAAUAAUCUCCUAAUAGGAAAAAAAAAAGGUAUUCAUGAAGGUCACCUGUAUCACAUCCUUUUCAGUCCAAAUACAUUUCAUCCAAUAUGCCCUAAAGUGGUUGUAUUUGGUGCACCAACAGUUGUCCCUAUAAUCAUAUAAAAAAACAAUGGAGUUUAUAGUGAAAGGAAAUAUGAGAAACAUAUGAUUUGUAAGUGUAACAUCAAAAAACUAUAUUGAUUCCUAACUCAAAUUUCCAAAUGUUACAUUCAAUUUAAUUUUUUUCAUUUAGACAUUUCAUCAAACAUAUAAUAUGCAUCUAACAUACCUGCAUUAUCUUUACUACUACAACAUCUAGCAGUUCUAUCAUCCUCAUGAAACAGGUUAGAUUUUCAAAGACAUGGUAACAAAAAGGUUAGAUUUUCAAAGACAUGGUCGCAAACAGAUUAGAUUUUGAAAGUGUAAUAAAAGAAAAAAGUAAUAAUGGGUUAGAUAUUGAAAGAAUAAACCUAUAAAUUGUUAGAUUUAGAGAAUACUACGUUUUAAAAGCUAAAAAAAAGUUCCCAAUGUCUUAAAAAAAUGUUUAAGUAACACAUUGGUAACUAAAAAAUUGGUUAGUGACCAUUUUGGAAUGUGAUAUAAUACUAUAAAGCAUAUAAAGUACAAAGAAAUAGUUCAACAACUGUGUAUGAAAGUUAGUUGGAAAAAAUCAACUUUUUCCAAAAAAAUAAAAAAUAAAAAACUAUGUUUUUUUAGGUUAGAUAAUGAAACUAGAACGCUAUUACUAAAAGUACAAUGCUAUGAUUACUAACAUUUUCAAAAAAAAAACAAAAAAAAAGUCUUUAAAGUAAAAACAAUAAAAGUACAAUGUAUAAAAGGAGUAAAUGUUAAAUGUACAAACUACAAAGUUAUGUCUUAAUAAGUUAUGUUUCAAUUUAUAACGAUAGAUUUGCUUUAGAUACUUAGAUUUAAAAGUAUUAAAGUUCUUUAUAAUGACAUAAUUGGUAACCAAAAUUAAACAAGUUAAAACUUUCAAAGUAUAAUAUCUUAAUAGGAAAACUUUCUAAGUGUGUCUUAUUAGGUUAACUUUCAAAAAUAAAACUAGGGUCUUUCUUUUUUUUUUGGUUUUUCUGUUUUUGUUAAAUAUUAGAAUGUAAUUGAGGAAGUAUCCUUUCUAGAUGAGUUGCUUCAGCAAUAGUAGCAGCUUGAUGACAAAAUGUUAGUAAUCAUAGCAUACAUAGUUUUAUAAACUACACAGAGGAGAGAAUAAGCAUACAUCUAAGUUUUUCACAUCAUCUGAAUUGGCUGAAAAAAUCAAAUACAAAAAUGAAGACAAAGACACAUGUGAGGAAAAAAAACACACAAGUAGAUGCAAAAAUUCACUAAGAUAAACAUGUUGGAAUAAUUUACAGAUAAAUCAUCUGAAACGUAGAAGAACAAUUUUCUCUUAAAACUCAAGUAGGGUUUUCAACUGAUUGCUUUUUUGGUCCACACCAUUUUGAAAAUUGCAUAAAGCAAAUCAAACACAAGUUUAGGGUUUCACCUGAUCAAUAGGAUGAUGGAUAACUGAAAGUAAAAUAAAAGUUAAAAUUUUCAAAGUACAAUUAGGAAAACAAUUAUGAGAAGAACGUCUUAAUAAACAGAAAAUAUAAUAUUAUGAAUGGUGACCAAAAUCAAACAAGUGGACUUUUAAAUACCAUAGUCUUAAUAAGAUCAAUUUUGAAUGUAUAAGGCUAUAAAUGAUAGUAUUAUAAUGUUGACAUUAUACUUUGAAAAUCUAACCAUUUUAUAGAGUUCUUCCAAUUUGAACAUACUUUCAACAUCUAACCUUUUAGACAUUUUUUUUAUUGUUUGUAAUCCAAAGACUUUAUACUUUGAUAAUCUGCACUUUGAAUCUGUUAUAAAUCGAAAAUAUAAUGUUAACAGAGGUUAGGUUUUAUUAAUAUAAAUCCUACUAAAAAGAAAAAAAAUAAGAGAACAUCUUAAUAGGAAAAAUAACAAUUUAAAGUGCAAUGUCAUAACUAAAGUGCAAUAUUUUAAUAGGAGUAAACAAUAAUGCUAUAGUUCAUAAGCAAAACAAAAAACGAAUUCAGAUUUUUAUAAGUAAAAUGUCCCAACAGAAAAAAUACAAUAUUUUAUUAGAAAACUAUGAAAAAGUACAUAAUCUUAUUAUGAUAAGAAAUACAAUAUCUUAUUAUGUUAAGUUUUGCAAGUACAGUCUUAUAAAUGAAAGUAUAAAUAUAAUUAGCUUUUCAAAGUACAAUGUCUUAAUAGAAAACAAUUAGAAAUUGAAUGUCUUAAUAGGGAAGAAAUUUCAAGUAUAUUUACUACAGAUGCUAAGCAAAAUAGAACACAUAGAGAUUGAGAAAGUAAAAAGUAUCAUUAGUGUCUGAAAAGGAAAAUUUAAUGAGAAAAAUGUUAAAAAAGCUAAAAGUUAAAUGUUAUAUAUGGACAUAUGGUAACCAAAUCAAAUAAAUUCAGAUCUAAAAAAACAAUUUCUUUAAAAAAAGGAUUUUGUAAGUAUAGUAAAAUGUUAAUAGAUAAAUUUUGAAAGAAUAAAGCUACAAAUGGUUAGAUUUUGAAAUAGCAAUAUCUUAAAGAAAAUAAAUAAAUAAAUGUACAAAGUCUUGUUAGGAAGAAAAACUAAUACUAUAAUGUUUUAAUGUGUUGGAUUUUAAAAAUAUAAUGCUAAUAAAUUUUCAAAAUAUGAUAUCUUUAUAGAAAAAAAAAAACAUUAGUAUGCUAAAUGUUCAAAAUGCAAUGUCUUAAAUGAAAAAAAAAGGUAUAUUUUACCUUUACAAUGUCAAUGUCUUAAAUAGGAAAAAUAUUUAAAGUAAAAAAGGAUAUAUGUGUUUACCUUUUAAAGUAAAGGCUGUAAAGUACAAAAUCUUAAUUGAAAAAAUCAAAAAUAUAAUAUUGUAGUUUGAUAACCAAAACAAAACCUGUACAGAUUUUAAGUGGAAGGCCUUGAUAAAAAAAAUAUAAGUACAACAUCUUAAUGUUAGAUUUUAUAAGUUUAACAAUGUGAAAAUACAAUGUCUUAAUGCAGAAAAGAUAAAAGUUUAAUGUCUUAAUAGGAAAAAUAUUAGAUAUACAUGUCAAUAAAUGUACAAUGUCUUAACAUAUGUUCAUAGUGUAAAUGUGUCAUUGGUUAGAAUAUCAAAAUACAAUAUCUUAAUAGAAAAAAUAGGAAAAAAAUGAUUUUAAAACUGGCAAUGCUAUACAUGGAAAUAUUAUAGUAUAUUUAAACAGUACAAUGUGUUAAUAUGUAAAAUUUUGAGUGAUUACUACUAUAUUGUGUAUUUAAAUAGUAUGGUAAACCAAAAAAGAACAUGUUUUAGAUUUUAAAGUAAGUUUGUCUUAUUAGGUUAGAUUUCAAAGGGUAAUACCUUAGUAGGAAAAAGUUUGAUUGUCUUGAUAGGAAAGUAAAUAAAAGUAAGUUUGUCUUAUUGGGCAUAUCUUUCAUAGUACAACGUUUUUAUAAGGAAAAAAAAUUUAAACAUGCAAGAAGUGGUAACCAAAAUCAAACAUGUUUAAGUUAUCAAAGUACAAAAUUAGGUAAAAAAAAUAUACGUCUUAAUAGGUAAAUUACCGAAAGUACAAUGAUUUUCAAAAAUUUUGAAGCUAAAUGUUAGAUAUGGUAAACCAAAAUCUAACAAUCUAAGAUUUUCAAAAAAGAAUAUUCAAAGUACAUUAAAAUUAAAAUGUCUUUAAAAAAAAAAAAAAAAAAGAGAUGAAAUUCACCUACCAGCAUUUUCCCAUACAUCCAACAUCCUUAUAGUGGCAACAAAAAUAAAUACAUAUUUAGUUUUUAAAAGUACAAUGUCCUAUUAGAUCAGAUUUUUUUAAGUGUAAUGUCUUAAAGAGAAAAAAAUCAAAAGUAGUAAAUCUUAUAAUUUUAGAUUUUAAAAGUACAGUAUUUUGAAGUAUAACUUCUUAAUGGAAAAAGGUAAUGUAAUGGUUGGUAACCAGAAAAAACAAACUUACACUUCCAAAGUAAAAUUGAAGUAUAAUGUUUUAACACGAAAUAAUUGAAGUAUGAUUAUAUAAGAGGUAACCAGAUUCAAAGUUCAGAUUCUCAAAGUAUAAAGUCUUUGGAUUAAAAACAAUAAAAACGAAUGUCUAAAAAGUUUGAUUUUCAAAGUAUAAUUUUUUAAUAGAACUUAUUAUAGUUACAAGUUGGAAGUCCAAAGUCUUAUAUGUUAUAAAUUGAAAACAUAAUGUCAACAGUGGGUUAGAUUUUAUUAAUAAAUCUUAAUAAGAAAAAAGAAAUAAAAGAAUAUCUUAGUAGGGAAAAAUAUUGAGUAUGAUGCUAUAAUCUGUUAGAUUUUCAAAGUACAAUGUCUUGAUCAAAUUGGCAGUAUCUUUAUAAGAAAUAAAAAUUCAAAGUACAAAUUCAGAUUUUCAUUAGUAAAAUAAAUGUCCCCACAGAAAAAAAAAAUGUUCUAUUAGAUUGACUGUAAAAUGUGGUAAUGAAAAAUACAAUGUUAUAAUUGGUUGGAUAUUUAAAGUACAACUUAUUACUAAAAAUACAAUGUCUUAUUAUGUUGAGUACAAUGUCUUAAUAGAAAACAAUUAGAAAUUGAAUGUCUUAAUAGGGAAGAAAUUUCAAGUAUAUUUACUACAGAUGUUAAGCAAAAUAGAACACAAAUAGAUUGAGAAUGUAUUAAUAGACAAAUAAGUAAAAGUACAAUGACUUAAUACAUUAAAUUUUGGAAGUAUAAUGCUAUGAUUUGAUUUUCAAAUUAGCAUCUGAAAAGGAAAUUUUAUAAGUAAAAUGUUAAAAAAACUAAGAGUUAAAAAUGUUAUAUAUGGACAUAUGGUAACCAAAUCAAAUAAAUUCAGAUCUUAAAAAAGCAAUUUCUUAAAAAGAAGAUUUUGAAAGUAUAGUAAAAUGUUAAUAGAUUAAAUUUUGAAAGAAUAAAGCUACAAAUGGUUAGAUUUUGAAAAUGCAAUAUCUUAAAGAAAAAAAUAAAUAAAUGUACAAGGUCUUGAUAGGAAGAAAAACUAAUACUAUAAUGUUUUAAUGUGUUGGAUUUUAAAAGUAUAAUGCUAUUAAAUUUUCAAAAUAUGAUAUCUUUAUAUAAAAAAAAUCCAUUAGUACAAUGUUUUAAUAUGCUAAAUGUUCAAAAUGCAAUGUCAAAAGGUAUGUUUUACCUUUACAAUGUCAAUGUCUUAAAUAGGAAAAAUAUUAAAAGUAAAAAAAGAUAUAUGUGGUUAACUUUUAAAGUAAAAUGCCGUAGAAAAAUUAUUAAAAGUAGAAAAUCUUAAUCGAAAAAAUAAAUAUAAUGUUGUUAUUUGAUAACCAAAACAAAACUUGUACAGAUUUUAAUUGGAAGGUCUUGAUAAAAAAAAUAUAAAUACAACAUUUUAAUGUUGGAUUUUGAAAGAUUAACACUAUAACUACCAAUUAUCAGAAUAUACAAUGUCUUAAUGCAGAAAAGAUAAAGGUUUAAUGUCUUAAUAGGAAAAAUAUUGAGUUUCCAACACUAUAAUUUGUAACAAAAAAGAUGAACAUAUGAGAGCUAAAAGGUAUACUGACUUAAUAAAAAAACUAUUAAAAGUACAAUCUCUUAAUAGAAAAAUAGAAUAUAAAAUGUUAUAAUCUGUAACCAAAAUCAAACAAGUUUAGACAAUGUCUUAAAAAGAUAGAUAUCUUAUUUGUUAGUAGCAAAAUAUUAUAAUUUCCUAAUAGAUGAAUAUAUAAAGUUAUAAUUGGUUUAUAUAUUUAAAGAACAGUAUCUUAAUAGGAAACAUAUUACAAUUUCCUAAUAGGGAAAAAAAGUAUAAUGCUAUAACUGGUAACCAAAAUCAAACUAGUUUAUAUUUCAAAGAACAAUAUUUUAUUUGUUAGUAGCAAAAAAAAGUAAAAGAACAAUGCCUUAAGUGAAACUAUAAUGCUCUAUUUGGUUUGAUUUUCAAAAUAUAAUUCCUUAGGUUAGAUUUGAAAAAAAAAAAAUAAUGUUAAUAGAUAGGUUUUGAAACUGCAAUGUCUUUAUAAGAAAAAAUAUUAUAUUUACAACUGUCUAAUAGGAAAAACAGAAGAAAGAAUGGUAAAUUUAGUAAGCAAAAACAGCUUCAGAUUUUCAAACUGCAAUUUCUUAAUAUGUUGAAUCAUCAAAGUGGCUUAAUACAGAGUAUAAUAAUAAACAUACAUUGCUUUAUAGGAAAAAAUUUGUUUGAUUUUAAAAGGAAAAGAAAUUAAAAGUAAAAUUGCUAUAUAUGUGACCAAAAAAAACUAGAGUUUUAAGUUGUUUCAAGGUGCAAUAAAAGAACAAAGAGGUUAGAUUUUGAAAAAACAAUGUUAUAAUUUGUCAGAUUUUCAAAACACAAUGUUUGAAGAGCAAAAACAAAUUAAAAGUACAGUUUUUAAAAGAAAAAUAUUUAAGUUAUACAUUGGUAUGUUAAUAAUAAUAAAUAAUAUGUAAUAGAUUAGUAUCUUUUUGUUUACAGAGCCCUGGGUGUACAAAUAAAAGUUCAAGGACUUUUUUUGUAUGAAAAAUGUUUUCAAAAAAGAAAUAUGAAACGACACUCUUUUGUAGGAAAGAAAUUAAAAGUGUAAUGUUAUAACUGGUAACCAAAAACAAUUUCUUCAUGGGAAAAAAGCAAAAGCAUAACUCAAUAAUUAAAAACCAAAACAAAACAUAUUUAAAAAUUUAAAUUACAUUGACUUAUUGGGUAAGAUUUUCAAAUUGUUUAUUAAAAAAAAAAGUACACUAUCUUAAUAGGUUAGAUUUUGACAAUAGAUGCUAUGACAGGGGAAAACAACUGAAAGUGAAAUGUUAUACUGAUAACUUAACUAAAGGAAAAUUUAGGAUUUCAAAGUAUAACAGAAAAAAAAAAUGUCUUAAUAUGUUAUCAGAAAGUAAAAUGUUAUAAUGUUAAGCAUAAGACUCAAAAAGGUUAGAAUUUAAAAGUAUAUGUACUAAUCGAAAGUCAAAUGCUAUAGCUAAUUAGAUUAUAUAUCAUAGUACAAUGCCUUUAUAUGAAAAAUUAAGAUUUUAAAGUCAUCACAGAAAAAAAAAAUUAAAAUUACAAUAUCUUGAUUAGAGAAAAAAAAAAGGUACAUUUCUAUUAACAGUAACCAUAAUCAAACAUGCCUAUGAUUUCAAAUUACAAAGUCUUAAUAGGUUAGAUAUUCAAAAUACAAUCUGGGAAGAUAAAUAAAAGUGCAAUGUCUUGAUACAUAAUAUUUUGAAAGUAUAAUGUUACAAUAGAUUAGUUUUUUCAGAGUAAAAUGAAUUAAUAGGAAAAAAAAAUUGAAAGUAUCAUAUGCUAUAUGUUUAGGUUAUAAACUACAAUAUCUUAAUAGGAAAAGUGCAAUGCUUUAAUAAGUUAUUAUAUGAAUGUAUAAUGCUAUAAUUGUUUAAAUUCUCAAAGUAGAAUGUCUUAAUAGCUAAGUUACAGAAAGUAUACAUGGUUAUUACCAUUUAAACGUCAAUUAGAAAAAAUAAAAGUAAUGUCUUAUUAAAAGAAAAUUUGAAAGUAUAUCAUAUAAUGUUGAAAAAGAUAAGAAAAACUAAUCAUAUUUAGAUCUUCAUAGUGUAAAUGCUUAGAAAAAAAAUAUUAAAUAUACAUCUCAAUAAAUGUACAAUGUCUUAUAAUAUGUUUGUAGUGUAAAUGCGUCAUUGGUUAGAAUAUCAAAAUACAAUGUCUUAAUAGAAAAAAUAGGAAAAAAAUGAUAUUGAAACUGCAAUGCUAUGAAUGAAAGUAUUAUACUAUAUUGUAUAUUUAAACAGUACAAAAACUUAAAUAAGCAAAUUAAAAUUUAAUUUUUUAGAAGAAAAAAUAUUUAAUUAUCAAAAGUAAAAUGUCAACAGCUGUUUAAUAUUGAAAGUAAAAUGAUAACUAAAACCAAAAUAAAAAAAAUAACAAAAAAUUAAGAUUUUCAAAAUUGAAUGUGUUAGCAGAAUAGAUUUUCAAAGUAUAUUAAAAGUAAAAUGUUUUAAUAGAUUAGAUUUCGAUUAGAAUAAAGCUAUAGAUGAUUAGAUUUUAGAAAUGCAAUGUCUUAAAAAGAAAUAAAAGCUGAAUUUCACCUACUAUCUUAAUAGAAAACAAAAGAAAAUACAAUGUCUUAAUAGAAUAAAAAUGAAGGUGUAAUGAUUAAAUGUUAAAGUGUAUUGAUAUGAAAAACAAAUAAAUGUCUCUAAUUGGGUUGGAUUUUGCAACUUUGCUGUAAAGUGUAAUGAUUGGAAAGUUCAUUGCCAGUUAUUAGUUAAAUUUAUAUAGUAUAUAAUGUAUUAAUGGAAAAAAAUUAUAAUUACAAUGUCUUAAUACAAAAAAAAAAAGUAAAAGUUAUGUUGUAAAUGGUAAGUAAAAUCAAAUAAGUUAAAGUUUUCAAAUUACAAAGUCAUAACAGUAAAACUAAAUUAAAGUAGAAUGUCCUAAGAGAAAAAAAAAUGAAAUUAAAAUUUAGAUUUUCAAAUUGCAAAAUCCUAAUAGAAAACCAUAUAUAACUAUAUAAGUACAAUGUGAUAAUAGGUUAGAUUAUGAAAGUAAAAUGUCAUAAUUAUAAUGCUACAACUGGUUAGAUUUUUUGAGUACAAUGUUUUAGUAGAGAAAAAAAAAUUUACAUUGUCAUUAAUAAUAAAAAAAAAUUGGAAGUAUAAUGUUAUAAACUUAUAUAUGAUAACAGAAAUUAGGAACCAGAACUUAUAGUGCUAAAAUUAGUAACCAAAAUCACAUAUGUUUGGAUUUUCAAAAUACAAUAUCUUAAAAAGGAAAAGGUUAAAAAAACAAAAAUAAAAAAUAAACAUAAUGCUAAAUGUGUUGUAUACAUGGCAACAAAAUAAUUAGGUUUUCAAAAUACAAGGUCUCAAACAUAAAUGGUUAGAUUUUGAAAGAAUAAGCCUAUUAAUGGUUAGAUUUACAAAAUACUGAGUUUUAAACACAAAAAAAAUAAGUUCCCAAUGUCUUUAAAAAAAUAUUUAAGUAACACAUUGGAAGUACAAUGCUAUGAUUUCUAACAUUUUCAAAAAUAAAGUCUUUUAGAGUAGAAACAAUAAAAGUACAAAGUCUAAAAAGAUUAUACUUUGAAAGUAAAUGGUCAAUUUGAAAGAACAAUGUCUUAAGUAGAAAUUAAAUGUACAAAGUAUAACAUUAUAACUUAAUAUUCAAAGCAUACUGUUUUAAUAAGAAAAAGAUAAAAUUACACUCUCUUAAUAAGUUAUAUUUCAAAUUAUAAUGAUAGAUUUGGUUAGUUACUUAGAUUUAAAAGUACUAAAUCUCUUUACUGGUAACCAAAAUCAAACAAGUUAAACUAUAUAUAUGUCUUAAGUCUUAAAUUCUUAAUAGAGCAAACUAAAUUUCAAAGUAUAAUAUUAAAAGUCUUAAAGGCUUAGAUUUUCAACAUACAAUGUCUUGAAAGGAUAAAAACUAAAUUCCCUGCGUUCAUAUGCAUUGGUUCUAAAUUGCAUUCAAUCACAACAUACCAACUUAUGAGACAAUAGGGAAAAGCUUAGUAGAUUUAAUUCUAGGUUUAGAGAAAUAAAAUCUACUGUGGUUCUUGUUUGACAAGAGAUAAACGAUGACAACAUGAAUCUUCAAUCGAGGUUAAAAAAAAAAAAAAAAAAAAAAAGGGGAAAUACAUGUUUAANGGGGUAAAAAAAAAAAAAAAAAAAAAAAAGGUGAUUACAGUGUUGUAGAAUCGAAACCCUACCUGAUGUUUGAAUUCUUGUUAAAUCACUGUAAUUGCAGACAACAAAGGAGCAAUUCAACAGCCUGCAUAGAAGACACAAGGCGAUCUCCUUCUUUUAUCUUUUAUAAUCUGCAAUGCAUCAGGUAAAUUUUACACAAAAAAAAAACGCUCAAAGAAGACAUGGAAUACUAGAGAAUAUAGAAACCCCAAUGAGACGAAACAGAAUGAAAUUAAAACGGUCAUCAACGUUCGAUUCUUUCUUCUCCAUACGUCAAUUUUAGUUUUACAGAAGAAAAUCUCACAACUGGAUUUACAGAAAGAAAAAGGAAACCUAUAGAACUCGGAUAGAAUAAAAUAUAGAGGCGAAAAGCAAUUAGAAUGAAAACUUACAGAGAUGUUGAUAAUUUCUUGGAUUGCGGAUAUGGCUAUAGUCUUCCAGAUCGAGAGAAGAACGAAACGACUGAAGACCGCAUCUAUCUAUAUCGCCGAUAUACACCGACGCAACCCUUUCGACUUCCAACGGCUAUUUAUAAAAAUAUUUCCAAAAUUAAGACUUACAAAACGAUAGCUUAGAAAAGCGACAUGUUAAUUCAUUUUUUUAAUCAUUUAUAACACAGCCAUAGUUUUAUUAAUAUGUUUAAUUUCCGGCUUUUAUAAAAAAAAUAAUAAAUAAAUAAAUAAAUGUCAAUAGUAUGUUUAUAAAUACCGGCUCAUACUAGGUUUAGGUUUAUUUUAUAUAUAUAUUAGUUUAUAACCCGUGGUAACCACGAUUACAAAAUAAAUUAAAUUUUAAUAGUAAAAAUUCAAAACAAUUAAUCAAUUAUUUUAAAUAAAUUAUUAAUUAAUAGAUAUUUUUUUAGUUAUAUAAAAUUAUAAGUUAAUUUAAAUAAAUACGUAAAAUUAUAUCACGUUAUAAUUUAUAUUAAUUUUAUUUUAAUUUUUAUUCUAAUGAUAUUAAUUUAAUAUAAUUAGAGUGAAAAAAUUGUAAUUUUGAAAUUUGAAAUGAAAAAAUUAAUAGGUUAACAAAUAACAUUCAUUAAUUAGGAGACCUACUAUGGUGACAUAAUGCAAAAGAAUAAUAAAAUAUACAUUAAUUAGGAUGUCUAAUAGGACGACACAUAUGAAAAAUAGAUUAAUACUAUUCUUUUAUUAGAAUAGUGAUAAAUAUUUUUUUUAGCGAAUAGUUUAUUACGAAAAAUAAUUAUUAUAUUUUAUUAUUAGUUAUUAUGUAAUUUUUAAAUGAAAUAUAUACAUUUAUAUUGCAUGUGUAUAAUAAUGAAGCAAAUGAGUCCUUAAGACAGAAAAGUUAUCUUGGAUGUCUUAAUGGGUUCAUGCAUGAGUUAAGAUAACUUUCAUGGAAAUAGAAUACCAUUUUUGGCAAUUGGGUUUAUUUAGGUCAUGUAAAGUCACCAAGUCAGCAGAAGUGGGCUUUGCGUGUUUUGGGCCUCGGAUUGGGCCAUAUAUUUUUGGUUCUUUAGGCCUUAGUGGACCAUCAGAAGUUUGAUAAUUUGGGCCAAGAAUAUGUUUGGGCUUAGGGUAAGGCCCAUUAGAGGGAUUGGGCUCAAUUUAGCAAAUCGAGCCACUAGUGGCUUGGGAAGUCUACCUAGUAUUAGGCUUUUUAUAUUAUGGUUUUUGGGCCUUAGUUUUGGACCAAUUUAGAUAAGAGGUAAAAUGUUCAUUCUACCUUAAGGAGGAUUGAUGGUUUGGACUAAUUGUUAUUUUGGUAAUGGUAGCUCGGGGAGUCGAGAGAUCAGCAGAUCGGGGAUCUACCAGCUAGCAGUGAGAGGUUUAUUCGCAGGAUUCUACAGUCAGCUUGCGAGGUGAGUUUUCUCCUGUAGGAACGGGUCUAAGGCACCAAUUCUGGCAUGUUUAUGUAUGUUGGUGUAAACCAAAUUUAGAUGCAAUGUCGGGGUUAGCCCAAUGUAGUUUAUAUGCUUCCGAAUUACGAUUUGAUGUCGGGCAAGGCCCGAGGAAGGUAUAUAUGUAUGUUUCCGAACUACGGUUCGAUAUCGGGUGGUACUAGAGGAAGGAAUGCAUGUGUAGUUAUAUUUUUUGUCUUUAUGAUAUUUGUAUGUGCCUGGUAGGGAGGUGAGUGUGGGUGGGGGCCCGUAUCUCAUCACUAGUUGAGUGUGGACGGAGUUCCAUAUCUCAUUAUUAGCAGAGUAGGGGCGGGGCCCAAGAUAGGCGGGGUCUUGAGACUAGCAGUUAUAGUGUUGUGUUUGUAUGUUAUGUAUUAGCAUGAUUAUGAUUAUAUGUUUGUAUGUAUAUAGCGGACGGGGCCCAGAGACAGGUGGGUCCUGGUAGAAACAGAUCUGUAUAUCGAGUGGGGCUUGCAUGUCGGAUUCGUAAGAUGUCGGGCGGGGCCUGAUGUCGGAUUUGACCGAUGUUAUGCGGGGCCCGAGGUAGCGAGAUAGGCCCAAUGUAUGUGUUUAUGUUAUUAUGUGUAUGGUAUGUGGUAGUUUGGGGAGACUCACUAAGCUUCGUGCUUACGGUUUCCAGUUUUGGUUUCAGGUACUUCUAGUAGCAGAAGGAAGAGCUCGGGAUGACUCGGCGAGUCAUAUGAAGAUAGGCAUGAACUCGACGAGUUGGAAGAACAAGUUGGCGAGUCUGUUGAAGAUUGCCUUGGAAUCGGCGAGUCAGGUCGUAGAACCCCAAUCUCUUUUGGUUAAAGCCUCGGAUUAGUGAGUCGAUUGGCGACUCAGUGAGUUUGACAAGAUGGGAAUCAGAGAUCGUUGUACUCGACGAGUCUUGGGGUGACUCGGCGAUUUGAGUUGUGCUUUGAGAGUUUUAUGAGUUUGAGAACUCGGCGAGUCGACGGGUUGACUCGGCGAGUAGAGUCAAUCAGGAAGGUUGACUUUGGCCAGGAUUUUAACUUUGACCAGUUUGACCUUCAAGGUUAUUAUGAUAAUUUGGAUAUUUAUGUCAAUGGAUCAUUGAUGGCUAUAGGUGUUGGAGUUUGGGGCAGUGCUUCGGGUUUGUGCUUUCGUGGUUCGGUUCGGCAGUUGCAAGGUGAGUUAUCCUCAUUAUACUAAGGGGUCUAAGGCACCAAGUCCAGCCCAUUGGAUAUGUUAUCCUAGCAGUGAGAUGUUGAGUAUGAGUUAGUGUUGCAUGUUAGUGGUUAUCUCAGUUAGGUAGAUCUGUAGGGCUACCUAUGAUGUUAUAUGAUUAUUGCAUGCUCAGUAGUUAUGUUAUAUAUUACAUGUUAUGUGGGAUGGGUUGAGGUUGUACUGCUCCGUGCGGUAGCCAACAAACCCUAGAGUAUUCCAGAUAUGAGCUGAGGGCCAGGCAAGGCAUUCCAGACUCAUGCUGAGGACUCGAGAGCAUUCCAGAUACGAGCUGAGGGCCCGGUAGGCAUUCCAGACUCAUGCUGAGGACUCGAGAGCAUUCCAGAUACGAGCUGAGGGCCCGGUAGGCAUUCCAGACUCGUACUGAGGGCUCGAUGGCAUUUUAGAUACGAGCUGAGGGCCCGGUAAGCAUUCCAGACUCGUAUUGAGGGCCCAGGGGUAAUCUAGCUCGCAAAGCUAUGGACCCAUAGUAGUUAUUAUAUGUAUAGGUGUGUGGGUAUUCCAACUCGACGGUUGUUUGGACCCAUAGUAUGCUGUUCAUUGUUGUAUGUGUAUGGUUAUGUGUGUACAGGUAUUUUGGGGGAACUCACUAAGCUUUCGAGCUUACGGUUUCAGUUUAUUGAUUAAGGUAAAUCAAGUGAUCGUUGCAAGGCAAAGACGUGAUCGUACUGCUCCUCAUAUUUCAUGAUCUUGUGAUUUGGUUCUGGGGAUACUCUGAUGCUUAAACUAUUUUAAAAACAAGUUGUAAUAACUUAAUGGUUUUUGAAUGAGUUAAAUGUUUUAAAUUGGCUUGAAUUUUAUGGGUGUUACAAGUUGGUAUCAGAGCCUUGGUUUGAGUGAAUUGGAGGAACACUCGUGUGAAUCCAAUCUCAAAUCAAGGAAAAGAUUUUAAAAUUAUUUCAAAAGGUUUUCAAAAUAAGUAAAGGAUGAUGCAUAGUGUACGAUCAACCGGAGCCAGUAAGUAGACCCCAAAAUACCAUAUCGUUAUUUGAUAUUGUGAUAUGUUAGGACAACAUGCUAGUACUAAGAUAGGGAUCCUUAGGAACCAUAUGAUAGAAUUGCCUGAUCUUUGAUGCCUUAUCUUAUGUAGAGUACCUCAUUUAUUGUUGUAUGUGUUGAAAAAUGUUUUUGUAUGUGACCAUUGUUGAAAUAAGACGAACUAUUCUUAUUUUAUCUGACAACUAUUAUCAGUUAUUUCAGGUUGCGUGGAUUCAUGAUCUAAUGGAAAAUACAAAAAUACGUGAAAGGCGGAAUACGCAAAAACGGAAAAUAGCCGCUUAUUUGGUCGUUUGAAGACAAAACAAAUUAAGGCUAAAAAUUGCCAAGACUUGAAAACCUCAAGGGACUAUUAUGGAAAUUCAUUUAUUUUAAAUGAAUUUAUGAGAUUUCUCAUAUUGUGCUGUGGAAAUGAGAAGUACAAACACAAACACACGAUCCAUGUUGAAAAGUCAAAAAAAGGAAGCAUACCACUUGCAAACAUAGCCUGAAACCUAUAACCCAUUUUCCUUCAUAAUUAAACUCAAGUGUAUUUUAGAUAUUUAAUGUUUGUGUAUAUGAGCAUAUGAUUCGUGUGUAUGUAUAGCUAGGUGAGAGCCAAUGUUUAAGAGAGAAAAAUAAUUCAUUUGAUUAUUUUGUAAUAUCUCUCCAUACACCUUACAUCUCCAUACACCAUACAUCAACAUACAAAAAAAAAAACUCUUCCAACCAAGAACACCUCCAAAACUUCACCACCUUAUAUCAAACUCCAAAAAACCUCAAAAUACUCUCCAAACACCCUCCAAAUACCAUCCUUAAACCUCCUCCAAAAACUUUUUUAAAUCACCUCACCAUCACCACCUUGCUAUUUUUCGACAUCGGAAUUUGCAUGUUAGAAAACAAAAAACGAGCACAACAAAUCCAAAAUACUACUAGGGAGAUUUUCACCAUCAAUUCUUCAGGACAAAGCACAUCGACAUUCGAUAUCACUUUAUCAUUGAAAAAAUUCAAAAGGGUCAUAUAGAACUACACUUCAUCAACUCCGAAGAUCAAAUUGCCGAUGUCUUCACUAAGGCUCUCGAUGAAACAAAGUUUCAAUACUUCCUAGGCCGUCUAGGAAUGUUAAAUCCGGAUAACAUCCAUCCUUAAACUUUUACUUUUUGUUUGUACAAAAGUGUGUUUACUUUCAUUCAAAAAGAAAAUUCAAAAACAUUUGAAAAUUGCUUUCUUUUCAAAAAUACCAAAAACAUUGAAAUAACCAAUAUUUCCAAAAACAUUCAGAAAAACAAAUCUUCAAAAAUAUAAUAAAAGACUUGCUGUAAUAAGCUUUUAUAGAACCUUGUGAUUAAUCGUCUUUUGACUUAAUUUUCAGAUGCUUAUGCUCGAUGAAGAUUUUAAGUCAUAUUGAUUCUCAAUUGGAGUGAAGGUUCAAAUCUCCUACUUUUCAUAAUGUAUAUAACUUUAUUUCCUUCGAUUUUAUUUCAUUAUUGAUGAUUUUAAACAAUCAAGGGACAUAAGGUUAGGAGGUUCAGAUGAAAACAAAAACCCAUGUGAGAACUUGUGCCUCGUCAAUCUAUAUCACUGUGGAAUUCAUUUCUUGUGAGCUUAGGUGUGUCACUAUUGCUUAUAAGGUAUAUCUGAUUAUACCUUGUCACGGUCUCAUUUUUGCUUAGAUAUCAAAAUGACCAGGGACGAUACAUUCAUUUCUUACAUAAUAGACAAACUGUCUUUUAUGCCACCAAUCCCCACCUAGAUAUAAGCCAACCAAAAAUGAACUCUUGAGAUCCCGUGAUCCAUCAACAAGAAAAGACGAAACAAAAAGGAUUUCAACAAUCACUUAUCAAAGAUAAACAAAGAUCUAUCCACAUCUAAUCUUCAAAGACGAAUCAAGAUAAAGACGAAACAGCAAGGAAGCCAUAUCAUUCACCGAAGAAAUACCAAACAAAACAAAACAAAAAACUCUACAUUUGGUAUUUUCAAACAAAGUUUCAACCAAAUGGUUAUUUCAAAACAAUCAUCAAAAGAUCCAUUGAUCUGUUUUUAACCAGUUUUCACAAAAAGGGAUAUCUUAAUCCCGCAAGACAGAUACUCUCAAAAAUCCAAAUUUUCUCAAAAUGUAGCAAAUUCUCGAUGCUAAAACAAAAUAUCUUUUUACAAAAAUCGAUAUUGAUCAACAAAAAGGAUACCAUCAAGGAAGAGCUGCAACAACAAUGAAUUUCCCGGGAUACUGUAGCCUUCAUCAAUGAAAGUUCUUAGUUGCAAACUGCACUAUGAAAAUUGCUAAACCCAUCUACAUGUAUUUCCCGACGGAGAGAGAGUGAAAGUUAAUGGCAUGAAUGAAGAAACCCACUGAGUAAUGCCGAAACCAGUCUUAUGUGAUUGAUUAUCUAAUGAUGAGACUAAGUGACUUUCAGGAAAAGCAUAGUUGAACACCUCCAAUAUGAGUGUGAGUCGUCAGAGAGAGAUAUCACUCAUUUUUAGUGAUCAUUAACUUGUUCUGCUGCCAGAACAACCAAACACCCAAGUGAAGUGUGAGCUAUACCUAUGAGCGUUCAUCUGAAUCGACCUGUUAGACCACUUGUCGUCAUUAAUAAUGCUAUAAAAUCUUAGGAAAUUUCUUUAGAUAUAUAUAUAUGGCUACCCUUUGUUAACCGAACCCGAGACUUUGAUUCGGAAACAAAUUUCUGAAAAUCUUUUACAUAAGAUAUGAUAAACCAAGUCACAAACUUUCAAAUCAAUUACUAUGGUUUUAUAUAUAUCUUAUCAUUGACAAAACUUUUAUCCCAAAUCUUCAAAAUUAAAACUAUCAACAUGAUUAAGUGAUAACUGUCCUUAUUUCAACAAUGAUCACAUAGGGGGAAAUUGUUGAAAAAUGUUUUUGUAUGUGACCAUAGUUGAAAUAAGACGAACUAUUCUUAUUUUAUCUCACAACUAUUAUCAGUUAUUUCAGGUUGCGUGGAUUCAUGAUCGAAUGGAAAAUACAAAAAUACGUGAAAGGCGGAAUACGCAAAGACNAAUAGCCGCAUAUUUAAUCGUUUGAAGACAAAUGAAAUCAAGGGAUAAAUAUGUCAAUACUUGAAACCUCAAGGGACUUUAUUAGAAAUUCAUUUAUUUUAAAUGAAUUUAUGAGAUUUCUUAUAUUGUGCUGUGGAAAUGAGAAGUACAAACACAACCACACGAUCCAUGUUGAAAAGUCAAAAAAGGAAGCAUAUCACUUGCAAACAUAGCCUGAAACCUAUAACCCAUUUUCCUUCAUAAUUAAACUCAAGUGUAUUUUAGAUAUUUAAUGUUUGUGUAUAUGAGCAUAUGAUCGUGUGUAUGUAUAGCUAGGUGAGAGCCAAUGUUUAAGAGAGAAAAAUAAUUCAUUUGAUUAUUUUGUAAUAUCUCUCCAUACACCUUACAUCUCCAUACACCAUACAUCAACAUACAAAAAAAAACUCUUCCAACCAAGAACACCUCCAAAACUUCACCACCUUAUAUCAAACUCCAAACAACCUUAAAAUACUCUCCAAACACCCUCCAAAUACCAUCCUUAAACCUCCUCCAAAAACUUUUUAAAUCACCUCACCAUCACCACCUUGCUGUUUUUCGACAUCAGAAUUUGCAUGUUAGAAAACAAAAAACCGAGCACAACAAAGCCAAAAUACUACAAGGGAGAUUUUCACCAUCAAUUCUUCAGGACCUUACCUACGUCUAGAAAUUUUCAUGGACGAUUUUGACCAUGGGAAACCCCAGAGAGACGCGCGAGAGGAUUGACUAUCCAGAGAGAUUUAUGUUUUCAAGUUCAGAAUCUUCAUGUUAGAAAACAAAAAACCGAGCACAACACAGCCAAAAUACUACUAGGGAGAUUUUCACCAUCAAUUCUUCAGAACCUUACCUACAUCUAGAAAUUUUCGUGGACAAUUUUGACCACGGGAAGCCCCAAAGAGACGCGAGAGAGAAUUGGCUAUCCAAAGAGAUUUACUCCGAAAAUCUACAUCCAUCACCACCCAAAGCUCCUUCAACUUCACCAUCUUUGUUGCCUUACACCACCAAAAUUACAACCUUAUUCCACCUCCUAACACCCUCCAAAUACCCACUCCAACCUCAUUAAAUCUCCUCAAACACCCUAUACCCGUAUACAAAUACAUGACUCGUGUACUUUGCACUGUUUUGUAAACAACCCAUUUACAUGAAAAUGAACUUUUUACUACUUAUCAAAUACCGGAUUGAUCAUUGAACAAAUAUCGACCAGUCGCUCCAAGAGUCCCAAUAUCGACCAGUCCAUUCAAAGAACAAAUAUCGACCAGUCGUUCCAUGAGUCCAGUUCAGUCAAUUUAUUGACGAACCUACUUGAUAUAUAUAUUUAUAUACUUAUAUACUUUAUUAUAGCUUUAUGUCAUUUAAAUAUAGUCAUUUAUAUUAUUUAUAGCUUUAUGUUAUUUAAAUACAGUCAUUUAUAUUAUUUAUAGCUUUACGUCAUUUAAAUACAGUCAUUUAUAUUAUUAUAGCUUUCAGUCAUUUAUAGCUUUCAUAUUUAUACUUAUUCCGCAAUUAUUAUUCUUUAUAUAUAUAUAUCUAUAUCUUAUACCUUUAACUCAUAUAUCUGUCACACAGUAACUGGUAACCGAGCCUUUUGUUGUGGUGAUCAGAUUUUUAUAUUUCCAACAAUCGGUAUCUGAGCUGAUAUAAAAGAAUAUUUUCCAACAGUAUGACUCUUUCGCGUGUGAACUAACUAUUGGGUGAAUACUCCAAAUCACAUGCUACAUGGGUUAAAUGGUCUUAGGGUAAGAGAUUUGGUCCUGCUGCAUAGCUCUUAUCUGAGUCCAACCGUUGUGGGAUUAAAUCUUUUAGUCUAAGAUUGUUUAAGCCAUGCAAUAUGUGAUUGUAUUCAUGCAAUAGUUAACUGGCACCAAUGGAUGGUCGUGUGGCAGUUGGUGGAUGGGUGGGUAGUGAGGGGCCAGGAGGCCAGUUAUGAGAUAUUUAGCGUUCCUCUAGGAGUUAAGAUGGAUCGCUCGCUAUGUUUAUGAAUAUUGUUAGGGUAUUGUAGUGAUACUUGAGACAAAUAUGGGUAGGUGUGGAAGGUAGUAUGGGCCCGUACUACUGAAAGCAUAGGACCCAUAUGCGUAGCAAGGAAGUGACAACCCCUAGGGUUUGGUUGGGAGUAGGUUCCCCGUCGUGUGUGUGGAUUAUCUGAUAUCUUCCUGGUAUAUGUUCAGUAUGGUGAUGGCGAAUUGAUUUGAGGUGGGAUCCGGAUCAGGAUUGGAAGCGAGUGGCCAGUAUAGGCCGGUAUUGUCCGUCGAUCAGUUACGGGAGAUGAUUUCCGUGGAGGUUUCUCAGAUUUUGCAUGAAGAAUUGUUUGGUGUCGUGGACCGGGUCACCGCCAGGGUGAUCGCCAAGUUCGAGGAGCAUGUUGCAGCGUUGCAAUCUAUGAGAGAUGUUGCUACCGGGAUGACUUCUGGGGGAGUGCCAGUGGUGGGGUCACAACUAGGAAAUAGGAGGAGAGACUUUUCAGCAGAGGAUGAAGAGUUGGAGACAGUUAACCUAAGUAUUAGAAGUCAAGAGGGUCAGGAGGUGUGUGGCAAGUGUGGGGGAACCCACGAAUUUGCUUGUCACAAAUUCAGGUGCUACAAGUGCGGGGAGAGAGGGCAUGUGCAAUGGGAUUGCAAGAAGGAUCAAAUAUGCUUUCACUAUCACCAGCCAGGUCAUUUCAGGUCUAGCUGUCCUGCAUUGAGGAUGGAAGGACUUCAGAUUCCAGCAGUCAUCAUUCCUUAGGAGUUCAAGGUCGAGCUGCAAGAAUUCGUUGGUAUGUAAUUGGAAAGCCCCCAUUCUCUAAUAAUAUUUUGGUCAAAUCGUCUGUGAUCGGUUUCUAUUUUGUCUUGGAAUAUUGUUGAAUGUGGACAAGCUGUAAUUUCGGGUUAGUUGCCUGUUCUGUUUGUUUUAUGUGUCGUGAAGUUUAAUGAGUGGUUAGGCCAUUAGAGGUGUCAGGAGAAAUUUAUUAUCAAAGGAUUGUAGGUGACUAGAGUUCAGGGAUUCAUUAAAAAUGGGUAUUAUAUGGGAGGUUUGCUUAUAGGGUUCCACAGGAUGGUUAUUCAGCAUUGUUAAGAUUCAGUGGUUUUAGCAACCGUUAGUGACUGACGGACAAAAGCGCCCAGAGAAGUUACUCGUUGCUGAGGUAUUAGUUGGAGCAUCUAUCUUGUGGUCUUCAGGACGUGAGUGUAGGGUCAUUCAAGCAUUAGUGGCUGUCGGUUUCACUGGGAUUCAGGAAGUGUUCAUCUGAUUCUUAUAAGUAUGUGAUCAAUUGUGACUAACUAGUAAUGGAGCACUAGUGGGAAAGAAUUGGUUGUCAUCAUAUUGAUCGUUGGGAAGUGAGAAGGAUUGGGAAUCCUCAAAUUUUCAUGUAUUAUGAGGGUUAGUCGAAUCUAAGUGGGGGAGUGUUACCCCGAGAUGUGGAAGUUGGAGAGGUUUUGAAACGGGGAUAAUUUCACAACCCGAUAGGGAGAAUGGAGGCCCUAGUGGCUGCUUGGGUUGAGGGUUGUGUUGAUUGGGGGUUCAACAAAACUCCCCAGCAUAAGAACACGUCUUCUGGGUGCUUGAUAGCCGAAGUUGGGGAAUCAGGUUGGGAUUCUAGCCAUGAAUUGAGUUCAGUUGUGUGUUAUUUUGAGUGCGUGUUCGGCCAGCAUGGAAAGUGUUGUAAGACUACGGGGGUAGCCGUAGCAAACACUAUCAAUUAGUGGGUCUGUCCCCAAGUAUUGAACAUGUUGCUGGAAUAGGCUGAAGACUCAAGUGUAUUUUGGUUUGAUCGGAAGUUGUUGUGAGAGAUCAGAUGGAGUGCAAAGGAUCUUGGUGAUCCCAUCAGUUCAGAGUGUCUCCGUGGUUUCAUCUUCUUGGAUGAGUUAAUACUCCAGUUGGGGACUGAUAGUGGAUCUAAAUGGGUAUUCGUCAAUUUUGGGAAGGUUUGGGAUUAGAAUAUCCUGUCAUUCAGGUUCUGGGAAUCGGGUUAGAUUUUUCUCAUGAUCGUCUAUCGCAUUCGGAUAGGGUUGAGGCAGUCCUGCUCUAUGCAGUAGGCCAAGAUACCCAGUGCGGGCCGACUGUAAGUCGUAGGCAUGGAGGCUCGAAGGGAUCAGUAGGGUUGAGGCGGUAGGCCAACAAACCCUGAGAAUUUCGACUCGAUAGUUGAAUUGAUUAGACAUGUUGGUAUUCUAACCCGAAGAGGGUGAUAUGGGUUACAUAUGAGUGCCGUGCUGGUUGGCCGGCAGUGGUAGGUAUGUUGAUGAUGGUUUGAGUUAUCGUGAUGUGUCUUGGGAUUCGUGUGUGGUAGUAGUUUUUGUAUCAUAUGUUGUUUGUUGAAGAGAGAAGCUUCGAUGUUGUGUCAAUGACUGAUGCUGCAAGGUCAGGGGGUUAAGCCUCCUUGGCGUUGAAGGAGGUGAGUAUCUCUAGAAUGGAGUUUUGGACAGACUCAGAAGCAAUCCAGACCUAUGAUGAGGACCAUGUGAGGGUAUUCCAGUCAUGGGUUGUGGGCUUAGAGAUUGUGUGAUUAUUUCUGUUGUAGGAGCGCGUUCAUAUUGGACGUAUUGUUGAGAUUUGGGUGAGUUGUGCUCGGUUGUGUCGAAUCAGAGGAGUUUGAAGGAAAUGCAAGGAUAGAUCCUUGGAUACAGAGUAUGGUUGUAGACAUGGGAUAUGUAUGUAGUGGUAUUCCAAUCUGGGGUAUUCCAUCCUGAGGAUGACCGGACCCUAUGAUUGAUUGGACCUUAUGUGUUUGGUAUUCCAACCCGAGGGUUGAUUGGGCCAACCAUGCGUAAGGAUACGAGGGUAUACCAUCCUAGGGAUGACUGGACACGUCAUAAGCAUACCUGGUAUUCCAGCCUGAGGCUGAUUGGUCCAGGUAUGAGUGUUUAUGUGAUAUAGCUGGUUGUUCAUGAGAGUUACUCGAAAGCUGAAGGAUGCGUCAUCCUGUCAGCGUGAAAAGGAACUAGAUUCAGGAAGGAGUUGUCCUUAGUAGGGACGAGAUAGUAGUGUCUGGAGUGAUCUGAGUUGGUUGGGGAUAUCAGAGUCUUCAGUGUAGGGGUGUUAUCCAAGAUCGGGUGCUGCAACAGGCUUCGAGGACGAAGCCUAAUUUAAGUGGGGGAGAGUUGUAACAUCCCGAAUGUCAGAAGUAUGAUUUAAGGGUUUAAAGUGUAAUUUCGAAGAAGGGACUCGACGAGUAGGUAUGCUUACUCACCGAGUCGGAGCGGGUUUUGGGUCGCGAAUUAAGUGACCAACUCGUCGAGUUGGAAGCAGGACUUGACGAGUUGGUGCUGGAAUGAGAAAAACCCUAAUCUCGAGGGUUGCACCCUAUUUAAAGGACUUUAUGUCCUUCUCUCAGCCUCCUUAUUGCCAUUGAGAACCAGAAAACCCUAAGCUCGUGUGUGUGAGGCCUUUGGAGAGAGAUUGAAGCUUUGGAAGUUGUUUCUAGUGGAAGAAACUUGAAGAUCAAAAGGGCUUACAUCAAGAGAGUAGUGUAGAUCCCGAAUCUACUUCACUUUGGGCACAUCUUGGAGGUAAUAAGUUGUUAUCUUCACUCUUUUGCAUCUAGAUCUAUUCAUGGAUGAGCUUUGGGGCCAUUUUGGUAUGUUUGAGAUCUAUUUCGGGUUUGGAGUUCAGAUCUGAAGUUGCUACUCCAUAUCUAGACUUGUGUUGGUCUAGAAUGUCAUAAAGCAUCAGUCAAUGAGUUGUUGGUGAAGCCCCUUUGUCUUAAAUCCUAGCCCUAGAGUGAUUUGGACCUUUAACUCCUUGGUUUCACGUAAAGUUUGCAACUUUAUGUAAGAGUCAUGACUUAGAAGAGUGGAUCUACUGUUUGGAGCCCCUGCAUGGCUCAAAAAGCCUCUGUAUGGAUGAAGGACUGAAGAGACUCGACGAGUUCCUUGGGUGGACUCGGCGAGUCAUAUGGAGAUAGGCAUGAACUCGACGAGUUGGAAGAACAACUCGGCGAGUCUGUUGAAGAUUGCCUUGGACUCGGCGAGUCAGGUCGCAGAACCCCAAUCUCUUUUGGUUAAAGCGUCGGAUUAGUGAGUCGAUUGGGGUGACUCAGCGAUUUGAGUCGUGCUUUGAGAGUUUCAUGAGUUUGAGAGCUCGGCGAGUCGACGAGUUGACUCGGCGAGUAGAGUCAAUCAGGAAGGUUGACUUUGGCCAGGACUUUGACUUUGACCAGUUUGACCUUCAAGUGUAUUAUGGUAAUUUGGAUAUUUAUGUCAAUGGAUCAUUGAUGGCGAUAGGUGUUGGAGUUUGGGGCAGUGCUUCGGGUUUGUGCUUUCGUGGUUCGGUUCGGCAGUUGCAAGGUGAGUUAUCCUCAUUAUACUAAGGGGUCUAAGGCACCAAGUCCAGCCCAUUGGAUAUGUUAUCCUAGCAGUGAGAUGUUGAGUAUGAGUUAGUGUUGCAUGUUAGUGGUUAUCUCAGUUAGGUAGAUCUGUAGGGCUACCUAUGAUGUUAUAUGAUUAUUGCAUGCUCGGUAGUUAUGUUAUAUGUUACAUGUUAUGUGGGAUGGGUUGAGGUUGUACUGCUCCGUGCGGUAGCCAACAAACCCUAGAGUAUUCCAGAUAUGAGUUGAGGGCCAAGCAAGGCAUUCCAGAAUCAUGCUGAGGACUUGAGAGCAUUCUAGAUACGAGCUGAGAGCCCGGUAGGCAUUCCAGACUCAUAUUGAGGACUCGAGAGAAUUCGAGAUACGAGCUGAGGCCCGGUAGGCAUUCUAGACUCGUACUGAGGGCUCGAUGGCAUUUUAGAUACGAGCUGAGGGCCCGGUAGGCAUUCUAGACUCGUACUGAGGGCCCAGGGGUAAUCCAGCUAGUAAAGCUGUGGACCCAUAGUAGUUAUUGUAUGUAUAGGUGUGUGGGUAUUCCAACCAAAUGGUUGUUUGGACCUAUAGUAUGUUUUUCAUUGUUGUAUGUGUAUGGUUGUGUGUGUCCGAGUAUUUUGGGGGAACUCACUAAGAUUUCGAGCUUACGGUUUCAGUUUAUUGAUUCACGUACAUCAGGUGAUCGUUGCAAGGAAAAGACGUGAUCGUACCGCUCCUCAUAUUUCAUGAUCUUGUGAUUUGGUUCUGGGGAUACUCUGAUAUUUAAACUAUUUUGAAAACAAGUUUUAAUAACUUAAUGGUUUUUGAAUGGGUUAAAAUGUUUUAAAUUGGCUUGAAUUUUAUGGGUGUUACAUUGAAGAUCACCGACGGCCGUCAAGGCUAAGCAGAGGCGCCUAUGACGAGGAGCAGGGCUUUCCAGUUGAUUACAAAGGAGACAUGAGCAACUUCCGAUUUUGCAGGUGCGUAUCUUUUGCUUUUCAGUCAGUUUUUUAUUUUAUGAUUUUAUUGCUAUUUUCUCACAUCCAUAUGAUUAGUUAUAUCUUGGGAUUAUACUUCCUAUUUAUGUUCGGAUUAUAUGUCAUCUGCAUACCAUGGGUCUUAGGGUAGUAGUGUGGGGACGUCUCUGUAUAAAGAGGGUUCUCAGGAUGUGGUAGCUGUAGCAAGUGUGAUUGGAACCCGGGAGUGUUCCGACAGUCUUCAGGGGUCUUACUGCUUUAGUGUCGGUUAAUUUUGGGAACACUAACAGUGGUAAGCAUUGGUUGUCAGCGAGAUUGAUCACUGGAUGAUACCAAGGAUUGAGGAUCUUUCUAGUCGGGGGUGCUGUAAGAUGUUAGUUGAACCAAAGUGGGGGAGGAUUCUCCAAGGGCUCAGGACCUGAAGGAAGUGUGGAUUUAGGAUGAGUUCGCAUUAUCGUCAGGACGAAAGGCCCCUAAGUGGCAGAUUAGAUCAAGGGGUAUGUGAGUUGGGAGUUUAGGAAACCUCCCAACAUAGGGUUGGUGUCCUUUUUGGUGUUCGAUAGUAUGCUUUGGGGACCAAGUUGAGGAAAUUCCCGUCAAUACGCGAUUCAUCCAGGUUGUUAGGCCGUGUGCAUGAUCAGCGUGGAAAGUGUUGUAAUAUUGCAGGAUAGCCAUAUCAUUCACUAGCAGCUAGACAACGUAGGAAAUAUUGUAAGACUGCGGGAUUGCCGCAACAUUCAUUAGCGGCUAGUUAGCAGAGUGUGGGCGGGGGCUCGUAUCUCCUAGUUAGCAAAGUGUGGGCAGUGACCCGUAUCUCCUAGUUAGCGGAGUGUGGGGGAGGCCCGUAUCUCCUAGUCAUCGAAGUGUAGGGGAGGCCCGUAUCUCCUAGUUAGUGUGAUCAGAAUUAGGAAGGGACAUGUAGAUAGAACUCGAGGGAGUUGUACCUGCAUAGCCCUAGAUAGGUGAGACCUAGGGGCCAGACCACUUAAUAGUAUGGUUUGGGUGAGACCCGUGGGCGAGGCCCGUGCGAACUUAGCAAGGGAGGUGGGACCUGGCAGAGACCGUAGGGUUGAGAUAUAGGAUCGAGGAUUCCAGGAUUUAUAGAGCCAAGGGUGGCAAUGUGGAUAGAACAAUUUCGAUAGCCUAAGUUUCGUCGGAAGUCGUUGGGAUCAACUAAAAGGGUGUUCAUUGGUUCGGUAACCUGGUGGAAUCCGGUAUUCCAAAUAGUGGACAAAUAAGUUUGGACCUGGGAGGUCCCAAUUCCUUCGGAAGGUAGAUAAGAGACAACAUGAUGUUCAGGUAGAAGUAGUGAUCUGAGGAUUCUUGUGUGAGGAAUAGUUGUUGAUCGAAAAUACGAAGACACUUGCAGUUGGAUUAAAUAAUCUCAAAGUAAUUGCUUUGACUCUGUUACGCAGCUCUCGUCUGAGUCUAACCGUUGUAGGGAUGAAUCUUUUACUCGAAGGAUUAUCUGAGCCUUCUGUCAUGUAUGAUUGUCCUACAGAGAGUUAUGUGUGGGCAGUCUGUUAGGGAGACAUACCAGCAUGGAUUUGGAAUCUAGAAAAGCAUAAGUGAUUUGCUAAAGCUGAAGUUCACUUCCUUCGGGAUGAAAGUUCGAUUGGUUUUUGGUUGUUUUGAGAAGAAUGGAUUGUUCAUAGAACCAUCAGUUGUGUUCCUCAGAUCAUUAGUUUGGAUAUAGGUGUUAGUAAGGAGCAAUUUCGAGGACGCAAUCCAAUUUAAGUGGGGGAGAGUUGUAUCACCCGGUUUUGAAAGUACUCGGUUGUGGAUUCGUAGGACAACGGUAUAUGGUAAUGUGACGAUUCAGUCUUUUAUGGGUCUCGGGUCUUAUUCGGAAGGUUUUAGCAUUGGGGGUAUAGCUUGGAGCGUAGGGCUUCCCGCCACCUUUUCGUGGAUAUGAAGUUCGUCGGAAAUGGGCUUAAAACGAAGAAGUUAUAACACUUUGAAGCUAUUGGCAUAUUGGUCCCUAAUGGAAAAAAGUGGCAAGAAGGUACCAUGCAUGCAAGGUGGCCAACACGGAAGUAACCCAACGCUAGUUAAGGGCACGCCCAACGUAGAGGAGUAAGUGGACGCGGGUGUGGGAGGAGUUCGCCCAACGUACGAGAAGUACGCCCAACGUACGCUCAGAGUUCCUAAGCACUACUUUUGGGGCUAAACACAAUAUAAAGAACAAAAUCCCCUAGAUAUCAGCCUCCCUCUCAUUCUUAGACAACUACCACAAAAUCCUAAUCCUUCCUGGAGUGUUCUUGUAGCUUAGAAAGCCAUUAAAUAGCAUUUUGGAGUUGUGAAGCCAUUUUCCAAGCAAGUGAAGAGCAAAGCAAGGUGGUGGUUCAAAGGAGAAGCUUUAGAUCCGAGAUUGUUGCUUCAUUUCAGAUCAUCUUGAGGUAUAAAGUCUUGAACUUGCCUCUUGAAUGCUUAGAUCUAGUGUAGUGAUGCUUUGGAUCUUUUUGGUCCCAAGAAUGGAGCUUUAUAGUUCAAAUUUGAUUCUUAGGCUUCGAGUUGCCACUCUCAGUACCAAAUGAAUCCCUAAGAUAGAAAGUUGCCAUCUUGGAUAUCUUAAUGGGUUCAUGCAUGAGUUAAGACAACAUUCAAGGAAAUAGAAUACCAUUUUUGGAGUUGGGUUUAUUUGGAUCAUGUAAAGUCACCAAGUCAGUGACUUUAUGGAUUAAGACGUUGAAGAGGACCUGGAUCUGUGAUUAUAGCCUCUGAAAUAGAGUAUUAAGUGCUUAAUGGGAAAAGUGACUUAAGAGAGAAGUACGUCGGGCGUACAUGCAAGUACGCGCAUCGUACACACCAUGUACCCUGUACGCCUAGCGUACAGAGGAGUACGCCCCGCCUAUUCAGCAGAAGUGGUCUUUGCGUGUUUUGGGCCUCAGAUUGGGCCAUACAUUGGACUUUGGUUAUUUGGGCCUUAGUGUGCCAUCAAAAGUUAGAUAAUUUGGGCCAAGAAUAUGUUUGGGUUUAGGGUACGGCCCAUUAGAGGGAUUGGGCUCAAUUUAACAAAUUGGGCCAUUAGUGGGCCACUAGUAGGCUUGGGAAGUCUACCUAGUAUUGGACCUUUCAUAUUAUGGUUUUUGGGCCUUAGUUUUGGACCAAUUUAGAUAAGGGGUAAAAUGGUCAUUUUACCCUAAGGAGGACUGAUGGUUUGGACUAAUUGUUAUUUUGGUAAUGGUAGCUCGGGGAGUCGAGAGAUCAGCAGAUCGGGGAUCUGCCAGCUAGCAGUGAGAGGUUUAUUCUUGUGAGGUGAGUUUUCUCCUGUAGGAACGGGUCUAAGGCACCAAUGUCGGCCUGUUUAUGUAUAUUAGUGUAUACCGGAUUUAGAUCCGAUGUCGGGGUUAGCCCGAUGUAGUUUAUAUGCUUUUGGAUUAUGAUCUGACAUCGAGCGAGGCCCAGGGAAGGUUUAUAUGUAUGUUUCUGAACUGUGGUUCGAUGUCGGGUGGUACCCGAGGAAGGAAUGCAUGUUUAGUUAUACUUGUUGUCUUUGUGAUAUUUGUAUGUGCCUGGUAAGGAGGUGAGUGUGGGUGGGAGCCCGUAUCUUAUCACUAGUUGAGUGUAGACGGGGUUCCAUAUCUCAUUAUUAGCAGAGUAGGGGCGAGGCCCAAGAUAGGCGGGGCCUUGAGACUAGCAGUUAUAGUGUUUUGUGUUUUUUUGUUAUGUACUAGCAUGAUUAUGAUUAUAUGUUUGUAUGUGUAUAGCGGACGGGGCCCAGAGACAAGCGGGGCCUGGUGAAACAGAUCUAGAUACCGAGUGGGGCUCGAUGCCAGGAGGGUCUUGAUGUCGGAUUCGUCCAAUGUCGGAUGGGGCCCGGGGUAGCGGGCUAGGCCCAAUGUAUGUGGUUAUGUGAUUAUGUGUAUGGUAUGUAAUAGUUUGGGGAGACUCAUUAAGCUUCGUGCUUACGGUUUUCAGUUUUGGUUUCAGGUACUUCUAGUAGCAGAGGGAAGAGCUUGGGAUGACUACAUUGUACACACAAUGAUGAUUUAACCUAGGAUGAUUACUCUAAUGUUUUGAUAUGAUACUCUGAUAACGUUUUGAAAUACUUGAAUUAUAUUUUGAUGAAAUGAUUGAUAACUAUGGUUUAUUAAAUGGUUUAAAACGAAAUUUUUGGUCUAGAAUUUUGGGAUGUUUCUUGUGUUUAGGCAAAUCUAUUAUAUCCCAAGUAUUUUUUUUAAAGGGACUCCAUCUCAUCAUUCAUUGGUUUAAUCCAGUUAGGAUCAAAGCAAGCUUCAAGAUAAGACUGAGGUUCUAGUGUCUUGUUUAGAUUAGAAAUAAAACACUUGUUUUCUAUUUUACAAGGAUAAUUUACAAUUUUUUCAAUACCAUAUUUUGUAUUUUCCUUCAAUGACAUAGUCACUGAAUUUAGUAGGAAGUUUAGAAGUUCUCUCUCUCUCUCUCUCUCAGAUUAACCCAAUAUGAAACGGUUCUUGGAUUUGGAAACCUAAGAUCGUCAUCCCAAUUUCCGGCCAUCCACACUCCGAUCAAACCCUUAACCAACACCACCCUCUCCUCCUUACUCCUUCUCCGCCGCUGUAAUUUUGGAUCCAUACUCAACCCUUUUUCCAUCGUCGAAUUCUCCACAACAAAUUGGACAUGUUCCUUCUGCCUCCACCGCAAUCACUUUCCUCACCAAUAACAAUCUAAUUCUGAUGAUAACCUCCCGAUGAAGCUCUCUCUAUCUCAUACAAAUACACAAACUGUCGAUUUGUUUUCAUCAAAUCCUCUCCAUAGAAACAAUUGAGAAAACCGGAGGUGACUGGAAAGAAAAGCAGGUAAUAAACACACACACACACACACCUUUUCAAGUGGUUGGGGGUUUUUGGAUUUGCCAUCAAAGGGUUUAAUCUGAACGUUGUUUAAUCUCAAGUAAAAAGGUUUGAGUUUUUUUGAAUUAAUACACAUACUUUGUUUACAGACCCCUAGGUAUGCAAAUAAAAGUUUAGUGACCAUUUUUGGAACGUAAUACACAAUGCUAUUAUUAGAUAAGUUUACAAACUGCUGUGACAUCCCCAAUUUCACGGCCGAAAAGACCGAUCUGUUUAUGCUUUAUAAAUUAGUGUAAAAAUACUUUUAGCAAUAUAUUUUUAAUUUCCACUGCGCAAUGCGCGGGAAUUCGUCUACUUUUUAAAUAUACAUCAUAAUCAAUACCCUUUUCUCACACGUGUCAUGCUCUCAGACAACUACAUCUUCGGAAGGCCAUAACUUUUGCAUACAAGCUCCGUUUUUGACGUUCUUUAUAUCCACGCGAAGGUGGAGACGUACUCUAAAACUUUCAUUUAGAACCCUAAGGCUAAAAAGUAAUCUAUCAUAAACUCACUUUUUAUGAUUUCCGGUGUCGUGUCGGUUUUGUCAGGAAACUUCGACAUGUCAUAACUUCUUCGUUAUAACUCGGAUUUUGGCGUUCUUUAUAUCUACGGAAACCUUGUGACAAAUACUACAACUUAUUUAAGAUUAUUUAUUCUAAAUAAUCCUCUAUCAAAAAGUCAUUUUUGAUGCUUAUCGUCUUUAAAUUGACUAGCCCGAAUCUGCGGCGUUACAACUGCAAUGUCUUUAUAAGAAAAAAAAAUAUUAUAUUUACAAUUGUAUUAACUCUUAAUAGGAUAAACAGAGAAAAGAAUGGUAAGAUUAUUUGGCAAAAACAACUUCAGAUUUUUAAAACGUCUUAAUAAGUUUUAUUAUCAGAGUGGCUUAAUACGAACGAUAAUUAAAACUACAUUGUCUUUGUAGGAAAAAACUGGUUUCAUUUUAUAAUCAAUUAUAACGCUAAAUAUAAAUAGUAUGAUGUCUUAAUGAAAAAAAAUUUAAAAGUUAACAAAAAAUAAUAGAUUUUCAAGCAAAAUUUAUCAUCAAAUAAAUUUUCAGAGUGUAAAAAACUAGGUGUUACAAAGUUAGAUUUUCAAAAUUUAAUGCUAUUAAGUGGUUGGAGUAUCAAAAGAAAAGUUUUAAAGAAAAAAAAAUUAUGAUGUUUGAAAGGAAAAAAAAUAAAUUCACAUAAAUGCGAUAAAAAAACGUAGAUUUUUAAGUCGUUUUAAAGUGCAAUAAAAGUAAAAUGCAAAUAGAUUUUGAAAGAAAAAUGUACAAUGUCUUAAAUGGAAAAUUAUUUAAGUUAUACAUUGGUAACUAAAACCUUAAAAGUUCAAAAUUUCAAAUUAUAGGCAAAAAUGUCUUAAAAGGAACAAAAAAAAAAAAGGCAAAGAAUACUAUGGUAUAUAUGGUAACCGAAAUCAAAAAAUAUGUUUAGAUUAAAAACAAUAACUUAAUAGAAAAGGUGUGAUGCUAUCUAUAAUUGCUUAAUUUUUCAAUGUAGAAAAAAUAAAAGUAAUGUCUUAUUAAAAGAAAGUUUUAAAGUAUAAUGUUAAAAAUGAUAAGAAAAACUAAACAUGUUAGAACAUCAUAAUGUAAAGGCUUAGAAAAAAAAAUAUUAAAUAUACAUCUCAAGAAAUGUACAAUGUCGUAAAAUAUGUUUAUAGUGUAAAUGUGUCAUUGGUUAGAAUAUCAAAAUACAACCACAUUAACAUUUGGAUUAUUUUCGGUUUGAGAGAGUAACUUUCCAUAAGACUCCAACUUGCUGAAAGAUGUAACUAUAUCACCCACUUAUGCUUCAAGGUUGGAGAUACUAGUUAUUGUCUUUUUUAAUUAUUGGGUACUAGUUGCAAGAGACUUGACAAUGUCAUCAAGAGACAUCCCUGACAUAAAAGAAUUUUAAAAUGUGGUUUGGCUUGAUAAUGGGGUUGUUAUGGCGGGUAUAUUUUUGACAUAAAAGAAUUUUAAAAUGUACAUUCCUGAUAUCGUACACUCUAGACAUUUUGGAAUUUUUACACUACAUUUUGGCAUCAUAUAUAUCUUUUUUUUUAUUUGUACUCAACAUGUCACUACUUUUGUUAGAUUCUCAUUACAACUUUACGGUAGAUUUCAAAAGAUAAAAUUAUACCGAAUCCUACAUGUCGUAAAUUUUGAAAGUCUAACAUAAUUCAUUUAUUUAAUUUAGGCCUAUCUGAUGCUCACAUUGUGUCGUCCAUUAUAGCACCUAUAACUAACAUCUUAUAUUAUAGAACUAGUUUAUAGACGUUAGAAAAUUAGUAAUACAUUUGCAAUGUGUUUUAAAGAUACAUGCAACAUUCUUUAUGUCUAAAUUAAUGAUAAAAUAAUUAUGUUGUAUAAGGAGAUAUAAUCAUAUAAAUUGAAAAAAAAACAUAGACAAUCAAUGAUGGAAUAAACAUUGUUUUAUUUAAAAUUUUAAAGUAAAAUAAUAUAAUAAUAAUACAUUAACACAAAACAUAAAAAAAGAAAAAAUAUUGAAGUACAAAAAUAGCCCUAGUUUUUUAUAGUUUUAACCGUGUUUAGUUCUAAAUUGAUAUUUUUCAAUUCUCAUCGUUUCGAAUUUUGGUCCUUAUUUUAAGGUUAUAUACCAAUUUCGUUCUUAUUUCUGGGUUCUUGUGAUCAAAAUCGAUAUGACCAAAACAAGAUCCUACAAAAAGAUAAUGAAAUGAAACUAUACUGCUAUAUGGCCAAAUGAACAUAUACUUAUCCACUAUAGUUUUUUACCAAACAAAAUCAUCUAAUCACAACAAUGGGUAAGACUGAGUUAUGACCAAAACAAGAUCCUACAGAGAAAUCAUGAAACAAACAUCACCAACUAUUUAUAAUAAUAAUAAUAAUAUAUGAUUUAUUCAUUUUAUUUUAUUAAAGAGUUUAAAAACAUCAAAAUCUAACCAACAUCCCAGUUUUUUUUAUAUUUUCCAAUUUGCUAAAAGUAGCUCAAAAGAAUAAUAAAUUAAAUAAAUAGUUGUAGAAAUAGCAGAAUUCACCAUUUUUUGGGGGCAAAGGUUGCAAUCAUUACCAUCAAAGUACGUUGUGUUGUAACACGCAAGCAUAAAACCAUACACAUUAUAAAUUGCAAAAAGAAACUUAAAGCACAAAUAAAUAAAUUAAAGUUUCAUGCUAUAAUAAAAUAUAAACCGAAAAAUAAAAUUAUUCGUCAUUUUUCUACAAACCAUUUAUUUUUAAAAAAAAAAAUGUUAGUAUAACACAUACAUAUCAUAAUUCCAUAAAAACUGUCUUUUGCUUCAAAAAAAACCGACCUUAAAUCACAUGAGAACCAAAAACAUAUCAUAUCCAAUCUACAUCCUCCCAUUUAUCAAACGAUUUGAAUUGUGACAGAAAAGAGAGUUAUACCCUUUGAUUUUUAUCAACUUAUAAAAUGAUCAAAAUACCCCUCUUAUAAUGAGAACAAACCUGUAAAAACUGAUCAUUUUGACCAAAAUACCCUCUUAUAAUGAGAACUAUCUUCCAUUUUUAAUUUCCACCAUAUUUUUUUCUAUUUUUAUCGAAUCAUUUAUUCCAGAAAAGCCAUAUAAUACGAAAAUUAUAAGCCAAAAAGACCUUCAAUCUCCCAGACAUCUUCAAAAAUGCAUUCUAGACCCCUUCAGAUCAAGUAAAUUUCCGACAAACUCAACCAUCAUCUUCAUCAGUAAAUCAGUUAUCUCAGGUAAAACAAACUAAAAAUGUAUGCAAGAACCUGAUAAGAUAAGGUCUACACCCAACCAUUGUUGUUUUCUUUAUUUUCACAAAAUAAACAUUUCUUCUAUUUCUACUAUUCUUGAAACUUGGUUUAAAAAGUUCUUGAAUUUUGAAAAUAAAAACCAAAGACUUUUUAACAACUGAAAAUUCAAAUCCAUGAAAAAAAUGAUAUUUUUAAGUAAGGAAUUGCAAAAAGAACAAGGGCUGGAAAUAUUUCAUCAAGAAAUUGUAAUUAUGAAGAGAAGCUUACCACAAGAGCCGUAUUCUUGAUUACAAUGUCAUAAUAUGAUAAACAGUUAAUACAAUGUCUUACUUGCUUAGACUAACUAAAACUAUAAUGCUAGUUAGAUUAUCAAAUAACAUCUUAAUAGAAAAAAAUACUAAAAGUUCAAUAUCUUAAUAAGUAAAAAAAUUUCAUAUGUAAAGUUUUGAAAGAAUAAAGCAACAAAUGGUCAGAUUUUCAAAGUACAAAGUGUUGCAAGAAAAUAAAAUUACAAUGUCAUUACAAAAAAGAUUGAAAUGAUAAUGUUAGAUAUUUCGAGUACACUUUGUCUUAAAGAAGAAAAAAAAAAAAAAAAAAACGAUAAUGCUAUGUAUUCUGUCUUAAUGGUAAAAAAAAGUACCAACAUCGUGAUAGGUUAGAUUCAUAAAGAAUAAGUAAUAGGAAAGUAUUAAAAGUAAUUUGUCUUAAUUGUAAAAGGAAAGUUUUAGUAGAUCAGAUUUUGAAAGAAUAAUAAUAUUAUAACAGGUUAGAUUUUUAAAAACGUUUUAAAAGAAAAAACAAACUAAAAUUAAAAUGUCUUAAUAAGAAUAAUGCUAUAACCAAUUAGUUUUCCCCAUAAUGGUAAAGACAGUAUGAUAUCACUGAUACCUAAAAUCAAACAAUGUAAGAAUUCUGUAGUGUUCUAAUAGGUUUAAUGUACAAUCAAAGGGCAACAUCUUUUUAAGCGGAGAAAACAAUUCAAAGCACAAUGUCUUAAUAGAAUAUAAAAAUAAAAAUGUUAUAAUAUAUGUAACUGAAAUCCAACAGGUUCAGUUUUUUAAAGUGCAAGGUUAGAAAAAAAAAAAAAAGUACAAAUGUCUUAAUAGGUUAGAUUACGGGAGUAAAAGCUAUAAAUAAAUAGCAUACAAUGUUAGAAAUGUUUAGAACUUUAAUGUCUUCAUAAGUAAGAUAUUGAAAAUGAUAUGACUUUCAAUGUACAAUAACUUAAUUAGAAAAAAAAAAUAAGUAAAAGUGCAAUGUGCUGAUAGAAAAAAAAAUUAGAAUCUAAAUGAUAUAAGUGGCAACCAAAAUCAAACAAGUUUAUAAUGUAUUAUUAUUAAAAUUAUUACAAUGUCUUGAUAGGAAGAAGAACAAAGAAAAGUAUAAUGGUACAAUUAGUAAAGAAAAAUAACUUUACAUUUUCAAAUGCAAUGUCUUAUUACCAAAAAAGUGGUUUGACUUUAAAAGUGUAACUAAAGCUCUAAAAGUAUAACACUAAAUUGGUUUGAUUUUCAAAGUAUAAUGUGUCCUAAAGGGUAAAAAAAGAAAAAUGUUUUAAUGGGGAAAAAAGUAAAAGUAUAGAGCUAUAUUAAGUAACAAAAACAAAAAAAUAAAAAAAAAAGAUUUUCAACAAAAAAAUGUCAUACAAUAGAUUUUCGAAGUGUAAUAAAAGUAAACUAAUUUAACUGGUUAAAUUUUCUAGAUACAAUGUUUUAAAAGGAAAAAAAAGAAAGAAAAAAAGAGAUACAUGAUGUCUAGGUUAACAAAAAACAGAUUUUUUGAAUACGAUGCCUAAAAAGUAAAUAUAUUUAAGUUAUACAUUGGUAACUAAAACCAAAUGAGAUUAGAUUUUCAAAUUGUAAUCUCUUACAAAUAUUAGUAUUAUCUAUUAUUAAUUUUUAGAAAUAAAUAAAAGUGCAAUGGUAUUGGUAACCAAAAAUAAACAAGUUUAGAUAUUAGGGAUACAAUGUAUAAUUGUCUAGGUUUUUAGAAUACAAUGUUUUAAUGGAAAAAAUAAUUAAAUCUACAAUAUCUUGAUAUGUUAGAUUUUCAAAGUGUAAUAUCUUAAGAGAAAAAAAGAAGGUACAACGAUUUUGUAAGUUAGAUUCUAAAAGUACAAAUGCUAUAGUUGGCAACCAAAAUCAAAGUCCAGAGUCUCAAUAUCUUUGGAUUAAGAACAAUUAAAAAAAAUCUCUAAAAGGUUAGAUUUGGAAAAUAUAAUGUUCAAAUUAGAAGAACUCUUUAGCUGGUUCGAUGUUCAAAGUUAUUAAUGUUUUAAUAGAACAUGGUAUAGAUAUAUUUUUUAAAAGGUCAUUACUGGUCAGAUUUUAUAAGUACAUCUUAAUAAGAAGAAAAAAAAUAAAAGAGUAUUGAGGGUAUAUUGCUAUAAUCUAUUACAUUUUCAAAAUACAAUGUCUUAAUAGAUAAUAACAAUUAAGCAAAACAAAACAAAUUUGGAUUUUCAUACAUAAAAAUGUCCUAACUGAAAAAAAAAAUAGAAUGUUCUAUUAGAUUUUGAGUGUAAAAUGUUGUAAUGAAAAAUACAAGGUUACAAAUAGUUGGAUUUUCAAAGUACAGUGUAUUACUAAAAAUACAAUGUUUUAUUAGAAAACUAUGAAAAAGUACAUCAUGUUAUUAUGAAAGCAAAUACAAUAUCUUAUUAUGUUGGGUUUUGAAAGUACAAUGUCAUAAUUGAAAGUAUAAUGUUGUAUAUAACUAGCUUUUCAAAGUACAAUGUCUGAAUAGAAAACAACUAGAACUUCAAGUAUACUAUGGAUGCUAAACAACAUAGAACACAUAUAGAAACAAAAACAUCAAUACAAUGUUUUAAUAUGCUAAAUUUUCAAAGUGCAAAGUCUUAAAUGAAAAAAAAAAUGAAUGUUUUACCUUUACAAUGUGUUAGUAGGUAAAAAUUUGAGUGUUUACUACUAUAUUGUGUAUUUAAAUAGUACAAAAACUUAAAUAAGAACAUUAAAAGUGUCACUUUUUAGCAGGAAAUAAAUUUAAUUAUUAAAAGUAUAAUGUCUUCAUAGAACAUGUUUUAUAUCUUAACAGAAUGGAUUUUGAAAUUACAAAUAACGCUUAAUUUUGUUAUAUUUUGAAAGUACAAAUGUUUUAAUCAAAGUGCACUAUAUUUUUUGUUAUAGCAUAUUUUACUUAUAGCUAUAACUCUUUUGAUUAUCAGGAAAUACAAUGCUUUAUACAAAAAAGUUAAAAGCUAUUCGCCUUAAUUGCAAACCAAAAACAUGUUGGAAUUUUUGAAGUAAAAAAUCUAAGUAAGAAAAAAAAAAAAAAAUAGCAUGAAAUGCUAUUGAAUCAAUACGUAAUAGUUAAAAGCUAUUACUUUUCUCCUUUGAAAGCAAAAUGCUAUAUAAUCGUUGGAUUUUUUAAAGUAGCCUGAAUCAAUACAAAAACAACUUCAUAAGAAAAAAACAACUUCAUAAUAGCAAAGAACAAAGGAAGGUGUAAUUUGUAUAAAUUAGUAACCAAUGUGCAAUGUCUUAAUAAGAAAGAUAUUAAAGUAAGAUUGACUUGAUAAGAAAAAAAAAUGAUUUGAUUUUAGAAGUAUAACUGAAAGUAUAAUGCUAAAAUUGGUUCUGUUUACAUAGUACAUUGUCUUGAUUGGUUAGACUUAGUAAGAAUAAAGCUCUAAUUGGUUGGAUUUUCAAUAUAUAAUGUUUUAAAGGAGAAAAGUUUUAAUGUCUUGAAAAGAAAAAAGAAAAAAAAAUUAAAAUAUUAUACAUGGUAACAAAAAAGUUAGGUUUUCAAACAGAUUACCUAUUGAAAGUGUAAUAAAAGAAAAAAGUAUUAAUAGGUUAGAUAUUGAAAGAAUAAGCCUAUAAAUGGUUAGAUUUAGAAAAUACUACGUUUUAAAAGCUAAAAAAUAGGUUCCAAAUGUUUUAAAAAAAAUGUUUACAUAACAUAUUGGUAACUAAAAAAUUGCUUAAUGACCAUUUUGGAAUGUGAUAAAAUACUAUAAAGCAUAUAAAGUACAAAGAAAUAGUUUAGGAACUGUGUACGAAGGUUAGUUUGAAAAAUUUAACUUUUUCCAAAAAAGUAAAAAAACAAAGUUUUUAUAGGUUAGAUAAUGAAAUUAUAAGGCUAUUACUACAAGUACAAUGCUAUGAUUACUAACAUUUUCAAAAAACAAAAAAAAAAAAUCUUUAUUGUAAAAACAAUAAAAGUAAAAUGUAUAAAAGGAGUAAAUGUUAAAUUUGAAAGAACAAUGUCUUAAGUAGAAUCUAAAUGUACAAACUAUAAUGUGAUAACUAAAUAUUCAAAGUAAGAUUACAUUGUCUUAAUAAGUUAUAUUUCAAUUUAUAACGAUAGAUUUGCUUUAGAUACUAAGAUUUAAAAGUAUUAAAGUUCUUUAUAAUGACAUAAUUGGUAACAAAAAUCAAACAGGUUAAAACUUUCAAAGUAAAAUAUCUUAAUAGGAAAAUUUUCUAAGUGUGUCUUAUUAGGUUAAGUUUUAAACAUACAACUAGGGUCUUUUUUUUUGGUUUUUCUAUUUUUUUUAUUAUUAAAAUGUCCAGACAAUACAUUCUAAUAUUAACCAACACUAUGCAUCAGUUGAUCAUAACAUUAUAUGGUAAAUUCAUAAUGCUCAUAUAAUUAGAGAUAAAUCAUCUUAAACGUAGAAAAUAAAAGAAGACCGUUAAUUAAUGUCUUAAUAGAAAUGCAAAAUAGAAGGAUAAUGUCUUAAUAGCAAAUAAAAUAAAAGUAGAACGUAUUAAUAGGAUGGAUAACUGAAAGUAAAAUAAAAGUUAAAAUUUUCAAAGUACAAUUAGGAAAAACAAUUAUGAGAGGAGCGUCUUAAUAAACAGAGAAUAUAAUUAUAUGAUAAGUGACGUAAAUCAAACAAGUAGACUUUUAAAUACCAUAGUCUUAAUAAGAUCUAAUUUGAAACUAUCAGGCUAUAAAUGACAAUUUUUAACAUAUUUAAAUAAGAAAAAUUAAAGUAUAAUGGUUUAACACAAAAUAAUUUAAGUAUGAUGAUAUAUAAGAGGUAACCAGAUUCAAAGUUCAAAUUCUCAAAGUAUAAAGUCUUUGGAUUGAAAACAAUAAAAAAAAUGUCUAAAAAGUUAGAUUUUCAAAGGAUAAUUUAUUAAUAGAACUUAUUAUAGGUACAAUUUCUUGAUAGGAAAAAAAAAGUUGGAAGUCCAAUGUCUUAUAUGUUAUAAAUCGAAAACAUAAUGUCAACAGUGGGUUAGAUUUUAUGAAUAAAUCUUAAUAAGAAAAAAUAAUUAAAAGAAUAUCUUAUUAGGAAAAAUAUUGAGUAUGAUGCUACAAUCUGUUAGAUUUACAAAGUACAAUGUCUUGAUCAAAGUGGCUGUAUCUUUAUAAGAAAUAACAAUUCAAAGUACAAAUUCAGAUUUUCAUAAAGUAAAAAAAUGUCCCAACAGAAAAAAUAAAAAAGAAAGUUCUAUUAGAUUGACUGUAAAAUGUGGUAAUUAAAAGUACAAAGUUAAAAUUGGUUGGAUAUUUAAAGUACAACUUAUUAAUAAAAAUACAUUAUCUUAUUAUGAAUAGAAAUACAAUAUUUUAUUAUUUUGAGUUUUACAAGUACAAUGUUAUAAUUGAAAGUAUAAUGUUAAAUGUAAUUAGCUUUUUAAAGUACAAUGUCUUAAUAGAAAACAAUUAGAACUUUAAUGUCUUAAUAGGGAACCAAAUUACAAGUAUAUUUACUAUAGAAGCUAAGCAAAAUAGAACACAUAUAGAUUGAGAAAGUACAAAGUAUUAAUAGACAAAUAAGUAAAAGUAGAAUGUCUUAAUACAUUAAAUUUUAUAAGUAAAUGUUAAAAAAACUAAAAGUUCAAUGUUACAUAUUGAGAUAUGGUAACCAAAUCAAAUAAAUUCAGAUCUAAACAAUGCAAUUUCUAAAAAAUAACUAUUAAUAGAUUAAAUUUUGAAAGAAUAAAGCUAAAAAUGGUUAGAUUUUGAAAAUGCAAUAUCUUAAAGAAAUUAAAUAAAUAAAUGUACAAUGUCUUGAUAAGAAAAAAAAAAACUAAUACUAUAUUGUGUUAAUGUGUUGGAUUUUAAAAGUAUAAUGUUAUUAAAUUUUCAAAAUACGAUAUCAUUAUAGAAAAAAAAAAAACAUUAGUACAAUAAUUUAAUAUGCUAAAUGUUCAAAAUGCAAUGUCUUAAAUGAAAAAAAGGUAUGUUUUACCUUUACAAUGUCAAUGUCUUAAAUGGGAAAAACAUUAAAAGUAAAAAAAGUAUAUAUGUGGUUGCCUUUUAAAGUAAAAUGUCGUGGAAAAAUUAUUAAAAGUACAAAAUCUUAAUCAAAAAAAUCAAAAGAAUAAUGUUGUAGUUUGUAUAUAUAUACACAACAUCUUAAUGUUAGAUUUUCAAAUUUAACACUAUAACUACUUUGAUUAUCAGAAAAUACAAUGUCUUAAUACAGAAAAGAUAAAAGUUCAAUUUUUUAAAUCUAAAAAAUAUUGAGUUUCCAACCCUAUAAUUGGUAACCAAAAACAAGUUUAAAAUUUCAAAGUACAAAAUUUAAGUAACAAAAAAGAUAAACCAUAUGAGAGCUAAAAGGUAUACUGACUUAAUACAAAAAUUAUUAAAAGUACAAUGUCUUAACAGAAAAUUAGAAUAUAAAAUGUAGCCAAAAUUGAACAAGUUCAAACUUUUAAAGUACAAUGUCUUAAAGAGAUAGAUUAUGAGAGUGCAAUGUAGAUGAAUAUAUCAAGUUAUAAUUGGUUUAAAUAUUUAAAGAGCAAUAUCUUAAUAAGAAAAAAAGUAUAAUGCUAUAACUGGUAACCAAAAUCAAUCUAGUUUAUAUAUUCAAAGAACAAUGUUUUAUCUCUUAGUAGCAAAAAAAGUAAAAGUGCAAUGCCUUAAGUGAAACUAUAAUGCUCUAUUUGAAAAGUAUAAUGCUAUAAUUGGUUGUAUCUUGAAAGUGGGAAAAAAGGAAAAUAUUAGAUAUUGUAACCAAAUAAAAAAAAAAAAAAAAAAAAAAAAAAAAAAAAAAAAAAAAAAAAACCUAAGAUUUUCAAAAUUGAAUGUGUUAGUAGAAUAGAUUUUCAAAGUAUAAUAAAAGUAAAAUGUGUUAACAGAUUAGAUUUUGAUUAGAAUAAAGCUAUAGAUGAUUAGAUUUUAGAAAUGCAAUGUCUUAAAAAGAAAUAAAAGAUGAAUUUCACCUACUAUCUUAAUAGAAAACAAAAGAAAAAUGCAAUGUCUUAUUAGAAAAAAAAAUGAAGGUGUAAUGAUUAAAUGUUAAAUAAAAUCAAGUACAUACAAAUAAAGUGUUAUAAUUGGUAAGUUCAUUGCCAGUUAUUAGUUGAAUUUAUAUAGUAUAUAAUGUAUUAAUGUGAAAAAAAAAAUUAUAAUUACAAUGUCUUCUUAACACAUAAAAAGUAAAAGUAUAAUGCUGUAAAUGGCAAUGAAAUCAAAUAAGUUAAGGUUUUCAAAUUAGAAAGUCAUAACAAUAAAAUUAAAUUAAAGUAAUAAUCUCCUAACAGGAAAAAAAAUGAAAGUAAAGCUGUAAAGGGUAACCAAAGACAAAUAAAUUUAUAUUUUCAAAUUACAAAAUCUUAAUAGAAAACCAUAUAUAACUAUAUAGGUACAUUGUCUUAAUAGGUUAGAUUAUGAAAGUAAAAUGUCAUAAUUAUAAUGCUACAACUGGUUAGAUUUUUUGAGUACAAUGUUUUAGUAGAGAAAAAAGAAUUUACAUUGUCAUUAACAAGAAAAAAAAUUGGAAGUAUACUGUUAUAAACUUAUAUAUGAUAAUAGAAAUUAGGAACCAGAACUUAUAAUGCUAAAAUUAGUAACCAAAAUCACACAUGUUUGGAUUUUCAAAAUACAAUAUCUUAAAAGGGAAAAGGUUAAAAAUACAAAAAACAUAAUGCUAUAAGUGUUGUAUACAUGGUAACAAAAAAAUUAGGUUCUCAAAUAAUGUUAGAAUUUGAAAGUCUAAUAAAAGAAAAAUGUAAUAAUAGAUUAGAUUUUGAAAGAAUAAGCCUAUAAAUGGUUAGAUUUACAAAAUACUGUGUUUUAAAAGCAAAAAAAUAAGUUCCCAAUGUCUUUAAAAAAUAUUUAAGUAAUACAUUGGAGGUAUAACAUUAUAACUUAAUAUUUAAAGUAUAUUGUGUUAAUAAGAAAAAGAUAAAAUUACACUGUCUUAUAAGUUAUAUUUCAAAUUAUAAUGAUAGAUUUGGUUAGAUACUUAGAUUUAAAAGCACUAAAGCUAUUUACAGGAAAAUAUUUGAAAGUAUAUUGGUACAACUGGUAACCAAAAUCAAACAAGUUAACAUAAAUGUCUUAAAUCUUAAUAGAGCAAACUAAAUUUCAAAGUAUAAUAUCAAAAUUCUUAAAGGAUUAGAUUUUCAACAUACAAUGUCUUGAAAGGAUAAAAACUAAAUUCCCUGCGUUCAUAUGCAUUGGUUCUAAAUUGCAUUCAAUCACAACAUACCAACUUAUGAGACAAUAGGGAAAAGCUUAGUAGAUUUAAUUCUAGGUUUAGAGAAAUAAAAUCUACUGUGGUUCUUGUUUGACAAGAGAUAAACGAUGACAACAUGAAUCUUCAAUCGAGGUAAAGAAAUUCAAUUAUUCAAUUAAUACAUAAUCUGUUUUUCAAAAUGUCAUUAUUAAAACAUUGAAAUCAGGUACUGGGAAACGAUAUAUCUGCACGUCUCAAAUUUAGAGAACCCCCAUCAUUAAUAAAAAAAAAAAAAAAAAAAAAAGGUGAUUAGAGUGUUGUUGAAUCGAAACCCUACCUGAUGUUUGAAUUCUUGUUAAAUCACUGUAAUUGCAGACAACAAAGGAGCAAUUCAACAGCCUGAAACUUUUAUCUUUUAUAAUCUGCAAAGCAUCCGGUAAAACAGAUUUUACACAAAAAAAACCCUCAAAGAAGACAUGGAAUACUAGAGAAUAUAGAAACCCCAAUGACGAAACAGAAUGAAAUUAAAACGGUCAUCAACGUUCGAUUCUUUCUUCUCCAUACAUCAAUUUUAAUUUUACAGAAGAAAAUCUCUCAACUCGAUUUACAGAAAGAAAAAUAAAAACGAUAGAACUCAGAUAGAAUAAAAUACAGAGCAAAAAAAAGACUUACAGAGAUGUUGAUAAUUUAUUGGAUUGCGGAUAUGGCUAUAGUCUCCAGACCGAGAGAAGAACGACUGAAGAGCGCAUCUAUCUAUAUCGCCGAUAUACACCGACCCAA
This 50356-nucleotide long non-coding RNA is filed under the name Lactuca sativa (garden lettuce). RNAcentral describes it as "long non-coding RNA (LSAT_LNC003340)". Lineage: Eukaryota; Viridiplantae; Streptophyta; Magnoliopsida; Asterales; Asteraceae. The record is from RNAcentral.